RNAcentral lists this long non-coding RNA (60926 nucleotides) under Gossypium barbadense (sea-island cotton). RNAcentral describes it as "long non-coding RNA (GBAR_LNC016635)". Lineage: Eukaryota; Viridiplantae; Streptophyta; Magnoliopsida; Malvales; Malvaceae. The record is from RNAcentral.
CUGGUGCCAUAUACCCAAUAGUUGCAAGAGUCAUGGUUUGCUUCAUUACUUCACCUUCUCCCAACAAUUUGGCAACGCCAAAAUCUCCAACAUGUGCAACCAUGUCUUCAUCUAGUAAAAUAUUGCUUGGUUUUAUGUCACAAUGAAUUAUAGGUGUUGGAUGUCCAUUGUGGAGGUGUUCUAUAGCUACCGCAACAUCUAUCAUUAUGUCGACCCUUUGUAUGAUACCAAGGAAACAAUUUUCAGAAUGUAACCAUUUCUCAAGGUUUCCAUUAGACAUGUAAUCAAGCACCAAGGCUUUGAAGUCAACACUUGAGCAGUAAGUAAUGACCUUCACAAUAUUACGAUGAACUAUAUUAAGCAUAGCAUCACAUUCAAUGUCAAAACUCCUAAAUGCUCCCUCUGUUUGCAAAUUGAAAACUUUUAUUGCAACUUCCAUUCCAUCUGAAAGCCUCCCUUUAUAUACAUAUCCAAAACUCCCUGAACCAAGCGUAUUGCUUUCCUCAAAUCCAUUAGUUGCUCGUGAAAGUUCAGCAUGUGAAAUUCUUCUCAGUGUCUUCAAAGACAACAAAUCAUCUUUAACUGGUAGAGCUGUACUCCUUUGGCAUCUUCUAUACAUAAUAGUUAAGACUAUUAGUACUAGGACAAUACCAAUUGUUGGUAAACCAUACCUAAAAGCAUGCAAUAUAAUCAUUUGGGAGUUUUUGUGGAUGUCAUUUUUGCAAGGUGGGACUAGCAAUCUAGGUGGACCACAAAGUGCACAAUUAUUCAUGAAUGAUGUGCUAGAAAAGUUUGAAAAACAUCCUUUGCUGGGAAUUUCCCCUUCAAGUCUAUUGAAAGACACAUUAAAAUACUUUAGAUAUAAAAGCUUUUCCAAAGAUUUGGGAAUGACUCCAGAGAGAUUGUUAUUGCAUAAAUCCAAGAAUUCCAAACUAAUCAACCCUUCAAAUGAUUCAGGGAUAUGACCAUAUAGUAUGUUAUUUGAUAAAUCUAAUGAAACCAAAGUUAUAAGACCCCCAAAUGUGGAUAAGAUAUCGCUCGUGAGAAGAUUCCUUGAUAAAUUUAGUCUCAGUAGACUCCUAAAAUUUCCAACAUCAAUAGCAUGUGAAUUGUGAAGACGGUUUGAUGAUAAAUCUAUUUCUAAGAUAUCUUUAAGACUCCACAAAGUUGAGGGUAUUGUAGAACUCAAUUUGUUGGAACCUAACCAAAGAUAUCUCAAAGCAGAAAUAUUACCUAAACAAGAGGGUAUGGAUCCAUGCAGCUUAUUCAACCCUAAAUACAUCUCGUAUAGUCUCUCCAAACCACAAAGGCUUUCUGGGAUAGGCCCUCCUAAUUUAUUAGAGGAAAGACCUAGAAUUUGGAGAUUUCUCAUUCCUCCUAUUGAUGCUGGAAUCAAUCCACUUAAUUUAUUAUACCCAAGAUCUAAAAGCAAUAGGUUGGUUAAGUUACCUAUUUCCAUAGGAAUAAUGCCUUGAAGCUCACACUCUGUGGCAUGAAAGUAUUGAAGGGAUUUUGAAAGGUUCCCGAAAUAAGUAGGAAGAACGCCACUCAAUGGAUUUCCUGAAACAUCUAUUAUGCUCAAAUUCCUACAAUUCGUCAAAGAAGAAAGAAAGCUCCACUCAUGAUCAGUAGCAGAUCCUGUGAUCAAAUUAUUGUCAUAGAUUUGGAGCCAUACAAGUUGUCUUAAGCUGCCAAGCGUUUUAGGGAUUGGGCCAGAGAAUGAGUUAUCUCCCAAGUCUAGUUCCUUAAGCAUGGAAGCAUUGGAGAUAGAGUUGGGAAUGUUUCCGCUAAGUUUAUUUCCCCACAGUAAAAGAAUCUGAAGCUUUGGAGCAUUGGUAAUGGGUGGUAAAUUACCUGUAAAAUAGCAUCUUUUAGAAAACAUUCACAAAAUAUAUAAUACAUUAAAAUAAAAACUUUAAAUCAAUUAAGAAUAAAAUUUUGGCAUGGAAAAAUGUGAUGAAAUCAAUUAGAAAGUUGAGACAUAAUAAGAAGUUUUGAGUAGUAAUUAGUCCUUGUGAUUUGUAUAGACAAAACAUAUAAUACACUGAUAAUUUUUUUAAAAUAUUGUAAAACCUGAAAUAAAAUAAAAAAUAAAAGUUUGGCACGAGAAUGUGGCAUCUAAUCAUUCUUAAAAAUAAGACUAACAUUAAAUAAUAAUUAGUUAUGAUUUGAGAAACAAAAAUGUUAAAGAUGUAAACUGGUAUGAUUUUUAUCUAUUGGGUUAAUUAUUUAUUUUUAUUAAAUUAUAUAUAGUGUAAAAUUUAAAGAUUAUUAUUUGCUCAAAAUUUUUGUAUUUUAGGAUUUUAGGAUCGCAUUUAAUUCAAUUGUAUUUAAGACCUCAUGAAUUUAUUCUAUAAUUUGAGUCUUUUCAACCUUUUGGGAAAUAAUAAAACAUCGACAUUAAACUUGUUGUUGAUGCAUUCAAUUUGAUUUUUUGAGGGGUCAUUGGAGUUAUAUGUGAAUUUAGCAUUGAUUGACUUUUUUAGAAUUAAUCUUUUAUACCAAUUUAAUAACAUCGACAUGUUUUUGGGUAGGGUCGAGCAAAACCCAAUUAAAACCGAUGAAAUUGGUUUAGUUAACUCGGUCAAGUCCAUUAGAUGGAUAAAAUCAAUUUUAAAAUCAGUUAUUAUGGAUUAAGGUAAUUAAUUAUCGAGUAAUGAAAUACAUAAUCAAAUCAAUUGAUUUUGUUAGAAACUAAAAGAAAGUGGGAUAAGCUGAAAACUGAUUGCCCUUUUUUAGAAUUAAGGAAUCAGCCUUUUACAUGUUAGAUAAUAUGAACACCCCAUAUAUAAUAAGAAAAAUUAUGUACGAUUAUUUAUUAUCAUAAAUGGUUAGUUUAAAUUUAAAGUAAUCUAAUAUGUGUGUUGAACUUCAACUAUUACAUAAAGUAUAAGCUAAAUAUGUAUAAAUAUUCUAGAAACCAUUUCUAACUGAUGAUAGGCUAAUUUGAAAUUAAGAUUAAUAUAUAAAAACUAGAUAGUAGGGUUAUAGUCCUCAAACUACACCUAAUUUAAUAAAAUCUAUAGUUUUUAUAGCCUUAAACAUUUAUAGAUUUUGUUAAUUUGGUCCUUACUCUUUAAAAUUACAUAAAAAUUGCAAAAAUAUUUUAGAAAUACAAUUUUUUCGUAUUUUUAAUAACAUUUAUAGUUUUUUUUUUGGUUUGGUAACUUAUCAACUCGACUCUUAAUUGUAACCAACUUUUCUGAUUUUUUCGUACCCUUAACCUAAGUCCCGUUACAACUUUCUAAAGACCUCUUGAUUGGUGUAUCAUCUCGAUUUGUUCUUAUAGUGGUGGGGAUUUGGUUUUCAAGCAAGCCUAUGCUAAUCACAUUUUUCGUUCAACUAUUGAGCACACAGUACUUGAACCUUAAACACUUUGAGUGCUUUGAGUGAAUCUUAGUUAGGGUAUUGAUUAUUGUUGAGUUUGAAUUUUAGGUAAUUAUUGAGAUGGAGGAGAUGCCUAUUUUUUUGUGCUUUACAAAUUUCUGCUUAGAUUGCUUUUAUUCUUUAGUUUCAUGCUAGUUUCAAUUUCCAGUGCAUGAUUAUCUAUAGAUUAUUCAUAAGGCAUUGUCGGUGAAAACAAUAAAUUGAGGGAGAUUAACUUGAAAUAAAUUGAGGGAUAUUAACUUGAAUAAAGGUUGAGAAUUUUGCUUAAGGACAAACAAAUGCUUAAGUGUGGGGAUAUUUGAUAAGUGCUAAAAUUGAUAUGUUUUAACAUCAUUCUUAAUGUGUUUUUGGUUGAUUAUUCGAUGUUAAUGAUGCUCCUAAUCCUUACAAUUCGUGUUUUUAUGCUUAAUAGAACAUUUGGGAGGAAAAUGAGCUAAAAAUGAACGAAAACCUGAAAAUGGGGGCAAACUAUAGGACAUGGGCUGACCUAUUCCUCAUGACCGUAUGACUCACACGAUCAUGUGGUAGGUUGUGUCGAUUUCGUAGAUUUGCACUCUGAACUGUAAAAAAAGAAAAUUUUAGAUUUUUUGAGCAUUUUAAUACGUAUAUAUGAAAAAAAUAAGAAGAUAGGAGAGAACCUUCCUAGAAUAUUUAAGAAAACAACUCCAAAGACACUAUUGAAGUCGACUCUGAAGCAAAUUUUCCUCAAGAUUGAAGAUUCCCAGUUGGUUUCUUAAGAGAUUAUCAUGAGUUUCUUUAUUUCUUCUGGUUAUACUGCCCUUUGGAUGUUUUUAUUUUUAAGCAUGAACUAAUUUUCUAAAUACCGAAUUAGAGAGAUGAACCCUAUGAUAGAUUGUGACACCCCAAACCCAACCGGAUAGACCCGCCCGAAUUCAAAGCAUUUCAUUAGCCACCUAAGUGACUCUCCAGCUAACGACCACCCAAGACACACCUCGACCUUAUAACACCUCAAUCUUAUCUAAUUACUAGUUAUUUAUUAAUGUAGAAGUAAAUUAAUAUGAGCCAAUUUUAAACUUUUUCUAGGUAAUUUAACCUAAAGGCAAUUUUGUCAUUUUACCACCUAAUGUAAAACUAACCCGAUUUUAGAUCUAAGUGUUUACUAACCUUCUUUUAGUCAAAUUAUACAAGCCUAAAAUUUUCAGCUUAAUUUGAGUCCGUUUACUAUGUCUAAUUCAAGUUUUAUUAAUAAGGACUCAAUUGUAACUUAAACAAAUUAAAAUACCAAUUUAAAGAGACAAAAAUUCAAAACUCCAAAACCCACACGGGCAUGUGGGUAAGUGACAAGGGCUUGUGGGAUUGAAAAAUAUGAAAUAAAUUAAUCCACUCAAUUUUCCAACAACCAUGCUAUACUACCAAACCAAAAAAACACUUGAAGUUUUGAAUAGGGGCGAAUCUAAAAAAAAUUAGAAGAAUUAGAAUUAAAUUAUAAAAUUUUGAGAAGUUAAAAUAUAAUUUUAUCAUGUAUUAAUUUAUUGUUUUUUAAAGGGUCCUAAUAUAAUUUUUUUCCCAUUUUGGUUGGGCCAAUACCCCUGCCUGCCUCUUUAAAUUUGCUCCAACACUAAACCCAAUAUUCGAUUUGGAUUAACAACAACAUAUAGGUUAGUAUUUGUGGGAGUUUGACGAAUAAAAAUUCCUUUUUUAGAUGUUUAAAUUAUAAAUUUUUGAAAGAUUAAAAUAAAUUUGUAUUUUUUUAUUAACAAAAUAUAAAAGAAAAAAAAAUAUGUUUAGACAAGCCAAGAGAACUUUGGGAUCAUACAGGUGAUUUUGAGAUGUUAAUGGUUAUUUUGGUGGACAGCGUAAAAAAGAAACAAAUGAUUCAUUAUAUAUAAUAUAAUUAUGAAUUUCAAGCCAUAUAUUGUAUGUUUCAUCCAUAAAAAUUUCAUGGGAGGUCCAAAGGUAAUUAAAUGACUUGUAGGCUUGCUGAAUUUCUUUGAAAGGCCCAAAGGCAAUUUAACAUUCACAAAAUAAUCUCUAAAUACUGUAAAGACAAAUCAAAUCCACAGUAGCAUUAGAGUUGAUUAAGCUAAGCAUUGGCAAAUAUUACUUUGAUUUUGCAUGCAAAAUUGGCAAAACCCCCUCUUACAUUAGAAAAACAACAUAAUCCAUGAAACAUUGAUGGCUCAAUACAAAUUUCAUCGAGAAAAAAGUCUCUUUGUUUUGGAGAACAUGAUAGUAAAGAUGUGGAGUUUCGUUCUUCUAAUUGGCCUCCUUUAGUUUUCCUUGAUCAACAACAAUUAGCCAAAAACACAGUUAGAUUAGAUUAUGAAUGAUACUUUCAACUAUGACAAUAUUAAAUACAAAACACUCUAAAUAAAUGGAAAGUAGCAAAUUAAGACCAUUGUGUUAUACUUGUCUCUGAAUUGAAAGAUUUAGAAGAAAAUAAAGAGAAAGAGUUAGAAAAUACUUGAAAACAGAUAAAACUUAUAUGUCAUUUAAAAUAAAAAAAAUUUCUAUUUAAGCCAUUUAAAAUUUUUAAGAUUUUUUAAAUUUUAAAAUGAUAAAGGUAAAACUAUAUUUUGGUACCCAAAAAUGAUAAAACUUUGAUUUAAUUCUUUAGAAAUUAUAAAAAUAUAGGCUAUUAAAAUGGUGAAAUUAUAUUUUUACUAUAUUAAAAAUUACAAUUUAAUUUCACUUGCUAAAAGGAUUUACUGGCUUCGCCCCUAAUAAAAUCUUUGGCAAAAGAUUAAAAUAAAAUUAUACCGUGAAUGGAAAAAGAAACUUAAGAAAACCCAAUCUCACAAAGAAAAUAACUUGUCCAAAAGCUACCAUAAACCGUAAUUCAUGCGAAGGCUUGUUGCUCAUUUUAUUGGUUUCCAUUUUGAUUUUGCAAAAGAAGUUUGAAUUUUGAAGAGAGCAAAAGAAAAAAAUAGUUUAUUAAUUUUUUACGAAUACCGACAUAUUAUAUACAUGAUUAAAAUUCCAGAAUAGAUUAAAAAUGUUGAAUUAAAGAUAAAAUUAAGUAUGAAUUAAGAACCACAAGUGUACUCAUUACUCACCAUCUCUGUUAAAAAUGUUGUUUAGCAACCUGUGUUUGAUUUUCUUCAGCUCAACCACAACAUCUUUCAUAUCUUUUCUUUCUUCUGGUAACUCAGCUGAACAAUUCAAAGCCAAUUCCAUGAUAGAUGAAAUACAAUUUGCUUUAACAACAAUGUACUCAUCCUCUCUUCUUAGUAAAUCAACAUCUGCAAUUUCUAUUGCUCCUUUAGGCAAUGAACUUUCCAUCCAAUGCCUUACAGUCUCUUCUUCAACAAAAACAUUAUCAGUUGGCUUUUUCUUUGUGAAAGUUUCUAUAAGGACGAUCCCAUAACUAUAGACGUCAGAUUUUAUAGAAACAAUUCCUGCUGAUCCAAAUUCUGCAUUUCAAGUAUCAUUAGAACAUCAUUCACCCUCAAUUAUUUCUAAAAUGCUUAUUCAAAUAUAUAUCCGCAUACACAAGAAACAAAAAUAUAAAAUGCAAAUUAGGAAAAUAAUCGUACAAAAACAAAAAAGAAUUCACCUGGUGCCAUAUACCCGAUAGUUGCAAGAGUCAUGGUUUGCUUCAUUACUUCACCUUCUCCCAACAAUUUGGCAACGCCAAAAUCUCCAACAUGUGCAACCAUGUCUUCAUCUAGUAAAAUAUUGCUUGGUUUUAUGUCACAAUGAAUUAUAGGUGUUGGAUGUCCAUUGUGGAGGUGUUCUAUAGCUACCGCAACAUCUAUCAUUAUGUCGACCCUUUGUAUGAUAUCAAGGAAACAAUUUUCAGAAUGUAACCAUUUCUCAAGGUUUCCAUUAGACAUGUAAUCAAGCACCAAGGCUUUGAAGUCAACACUUGAGCAGCAAGUAAUGACCUUCACAAUAUUACGAUGAACUAUAUUAAGCAUAACAUCACAUUCAAUGUCAAAACUCCUAAAUGCUCCCUCUGUUUGCAAAUUGAAAACUUUUAUUGCAACUUCCAUUCCAUCUGAAAGCCUCCCUUUAUAUACAUAUCCAAAACUCCCUGAACCAAGCAUAUUGCUUUCCUCAAAUCCAUUAGUUGCUCGUGAAAGUUCAGCAUGUGAAAUUCUUCUCGGUGUCUUCAAAGACAACAAAUCAUCUUUAACUGGUAGAGCUGUACUCCUUUGGCAUCUUCUAUACAUAAUAGUUAAGACUAUUAGUACUAGGACAAUACCAAUUGUUGGUAAACCAUACCUAAAAGCAUGUAAUAUAAUCAUUUGGGAGUUUUUGUGGAUGUCAUUUUUGCAAGGUGGGACUAGCAAUCUAGGUGGACCACAAAAUGCACAAUUAUUCAUGAAUGAUGUGCUAGAAAAGUUUGAAAAACAUCUUUUGCUGGGAAUUUCCCCUUCAAGUCUAUUGAAAGACACAUUAAAAUACUUUAGAUAUAAAAGCUUUUCCAAAGAUUUGGGAAUGACUCCAGAGAGAUUGUUAUUGCAUAAAUCCAAGAAUUCCAAACUAAUCAACCCAUCAAAUGAUUCAGGGAUAUGACCAUGUAGUAUAUUAUUUGAUAAAUCUAAUGAAACCAAAGUUUGAAGACCCCCAAAUGUGGAUAAGAUAUCGCCCAUGAGAAGAUUCCUUGAUAAAUUUAGUCUCAGUAGACUCCUAAAGUUUCCAACAUCAAUAGCAUGUGAAUUGUGAAGAUGGUUUGAUGAUAAAUCUAUUUCUAAGAUAUCUUUAAGAUUCCACAAAGUUGAGGGUAUUGUAGAACUCAAUUUGUUGGAAUCUAACCAAAGAUAUCUCAAAGCAGAAAUAUUACCCAAACAAGAGGGUAUGGGUCCAUGCAGCUUAUUCAACCCUAAAUACAUCUUGUAUAGUCUCUCCAAACCACAGAGGCUUUCUGGGAUAGGCCCUUCUAAUUUAUUAGAGGAAAGAUCUAGACCUUGCAGAUUCCGCAGUCCUCCUAUUGAUGCUGGAAUGAAUCCACUUAAUUUAUUAUGGUCAAGUUCUAAAACCAAUAAGUUGGUUAAGUUACCUAUUUCCAUAGGAAUAAUGCCUUGAAGCUCACAAUUAUAGGCAUGAAAGGAUUGAAGGGAUUUUGAAAGGUUCCCAAUAUAAGUAGGAAGAACGCCACUCAAUGGAUUUCCUGAAACACCUAUUUUUCUCAAAUUCCUACAAUUCGUCAAAGAAGAAAGAAAGCUCCACUCAUGAUCAGUAGCAGAUCCUGUGAUCAAAUUAUUGUCAGUGAUUUUGAGCACUUCAAGGUGUUUUAAGCUGCCAAGCAUUUUAGGGAUUGGGCCAGAGAAUGAGUUAUCUUCCAAGUCUAGUUUCUUAAGCAUGGAAGCAUUGGAGAUAGAGUAAGGAAUGUUUCCGCUAAGUUUAUUUCCCCACAGUAAAAGAAUCUGAAGCUUUGGAGCAUUGGUAAUGGGUGGUAAAUUACCUGUAAAAUAGCAUCUUUUAGAAAACAUAUUCAUUGAAUACCAAAUUCACAAAAUAUAUAAUACAUUAAAAUUAAAACUUUAAAACUUUAAAUCAAUUAAGAAUAAAAUUUUGGCAUGGAAAAUUGUGAUGAAAUCAAUUAGAAAGUUGAGACAUAAUAAGAAGUUUUGAGUAGUAAUUACUCAUGAUUUCCAUAGACAAAACAUAUAAUACACUGAUAAUUUUUUUAAAAAUAUUGUAAAACCUGAAAUAAAAUAAAAAAUAAAAGUUUGGCAUGAGAAUGUGGCAUCUAAUCAUUCUUAAAAAUAAGACUAACAUUGAAUAAUAAUUAGUUAUGAUUUGAGAAACAAAAAUGUUAAAGAUGUAAACUGGUAUGAUUUUUAUCUAUUGGGUUAAUUAUUUAUUUUUAUUAAAUUAUAUAUAGUGUAAAAUUUAAAGAUUAUUAUUUGCUCAAAAUUUUUGUAUUUUUCGUAUAUUUGAAAUUUAAUCUUUAUAUUUUUUAUUUUCUGUGAUUUAGUCUCUCUACUUUUUGAAUUGAAAAUUUUAAGUUUAUUUAUUAACACUGUUAAAAAGUUUUUGUGUUAGUAUGGCAUUUUGAAAAAUAAAAUAAACUUGAUAUCUAUGUUUUUAAUUAUUCCAAAUACUGUUUUACUAUUCCAAGAUAAAUUAUUUGUGUCUAGACCAAUAUCUUAAGAACUAUUGUUGCAUGUUUAAUUAUUCUAAAGAAUUGUUGAUUGAGUCUUAGUUGAAGUGCACUAUUCUCCUAUUUAUGAAUUGGGGAGUUGAUAAAGUACUAAAUUUUGAUAUAUUUUAAAAAAUUAAAAAUUUAUUAAAAUAUUUUUAUAAAAAUUAAUUGUACCAAAAUAUACAAUUUUAAUAUCAAAUUUUUAAUUUUUUUAAAAAUAUUAGCGAAUAUAUACUUUAUUUCAAGUUACACAAUUUUUACUAGUUUUUAACUUUUUUUUUAAAUUUUUAUCGUCUUUUAUAAUUUCAUAUAUUUUUUUAUAAUUUUUUACAAUAUUUACAAUUUCUAACAAUUUUUAAUAAUUUUAUUAUUUAUUAUAAAUUUAAAAAUUAACAAAUUUUUAUUUUUUUAAAACAAUUAUAUAUUUAUAAUGUAGUUAUUUUUUUAUAAUUUUUUUUGAAAUUUAAAGAUUUUUUUGGUUUUUUCUAGAUGAUGAUGCCAUCAUGAUGUCAUCAUAUGCCACAUGGCAAUUUAUAAUUAGUUGACUAUCUCAAUCUAUUUUUUUAACGUCCAAUGGACUAAAACAAGAACACCUGAUAAUGUUAGAGACUACACUAGGAAUGUUUGAUAAUAUUAGGUACUAAAGUGGGCAAAAAAAAUUAAGGACUAUAUUAAAAAUAUAUCUAUAAUAUAUAUAAAUGCAUGGAUUUUGAGAAACUUUUGAAAUGACAAAUAUAUAGUCUUUGUUUUUUUUUACUAUAUUAUUGAAUUUUUUAUUUUAAAUAUUUUUUUAUUACUUUUAAGAUUUAUCAUAUGUAUGGAUAAAAAUUUUGGUUUUACUAAAAUAUUUGGUUAAAUAAAUUCACUUUAUAAAAAAAUUUAGCAUCCUUAUAAAUAACAAUUUUGAUUCCAUUAAAAAAAUUAUUUAAAAAUAUAUAAUAAAAAUUUAAAAUUUAUAUUGAAUCACUUUAUACUUAAAUUAUUAUUAGAAACUUUAUCAUACACAUAUGUGUAUGAGAACCACGUUUUCAGAACUUAAAUUUGUGUUCUAAAAUAACUUAUGAUAAAUAAUUAAAUGUAUAAUUUGAAAUUAUAUUGAAAUAAAAAUAGAUUAAAUUGUAAGUAAAACAUAUAUAAUUUAAACAUAUGAAUACAUCAAAUUAAAAAUACUAAAUGAAUACAUUUAUUUAUGAUGAUGUUGUUGUCAAUUCAUAAGUUGGUGUCGAGUUAAUUUGUGACAUCAUAAUUUUAAGUGAUAAAUUUAAGGUUUUAUGUAUUGAUGUCGAUUCAAAUAUCACCAUAAUUUUUUUAAAUAAAAAACUAAAGCACCCUCAAAUAAUAUAACUUAUAUUAAAUAUGAAAGGGUAUUUUUGUAAUUUCUCUAACGAGUUGGUGCCCGGUUGACUCAUGACACCAACUCAAUCAAAAGCUUCAAUAAUAAUAUAGAUAUUCACGUUUAAAAAAAGUACUUUAGUUCGAAAUAAUUAUGUAACAAGUAAUUUUAUAAUUGAUGAAUAAUUUUAUAAAAAUAUAUUUAUAUGAUCUAAUAUAUUAUAUUUAUAUUAAUUAUAUAUCAUCUACAAACUUUGAAGAUCAAUUUAUUAAGUAUCAGGAAAAGAAAAAAUGAAAUUGAAUUAACACUAAAUCAAUUUUUAGAUUUUGUACAGAUGAUUUAAUGAUGAUAAAAACAUUAUUAGCACUAUUUUUGAAUUAACAAAAAAUUAGUGAUAUAUUUUAAUUAUAUUUUUUAUUUUUUAUUUUUAAUAAUAUUUUUUUAAUUAUAUGAAGUAAAAUUAUAUUGUAUACUAAAUAUGGUACAUAUACUUUAAUUAAAACUUGAAAAAGUAUUAUAUAAAUUAAUAUAUUUUAAUUAUAUUCAACCAUUUGAAUAACAAAAUUAAAAAAAAACUAAUUAGAAUUAUUUACUUUUUAAAGUUUAAUGGAAAAUAAAAAAUAAAAAAUAAAUCAAUUCAUAUAAAUCUUAUUGUUUAUUAUCAGAUUAAAAUGAUAAAAGUAUAUGACAUACAUAGAAGAAACAAAUUCAACACCAUGUUUUUGGAGUUUGGAAAAAAUUAAAGUGAAAAACCUACCUUCUAAACUGUUGUUAAAUAGAUCUAUUUCUUCGAGCGUAGUUGAAUUAAAAAUACUUGAUGGAAUCUGACCUGCACACAUAGUCGAAAAUUGAAGUGAAAUCAAACUCUUUUGUGAAAAAAAUAUUACCAGAUAAUUCAUUCCAACCCAGGUAAAGCCCUUCAAGCUUGGGAAGAUGUUGACACAUAUCAUUAGGCAAACUACCUGAUAGGCUAUUGUUGGAGAGAUUAAUGGUCUUCAAAGAAGAAAUGUUGAAGAUCGAAGUUGGAAUCUGACCUAUAAGGCCUUUAAUUGCUCUAAUACUAAGCCUUUCCAAACUAAGAAGAUUACCAAUUUCCUUAGGAAUUAGACCUGCAGACAGUCGAAAAUUCAAUGUUUUUCAGCAUAUGUUUUUCAUCAAAUGAAAUAAAAAGUUCUUCCUUUUGUUAUCUAUUACAAAUCAAACUCUUUUAUAAAAAAAAUACUUUAAAUUCAAGAAAUCAAGGAAAUUGAUUACCUUCUAGAUUAUUAAACCCCAAAUAUAAUUCUUGGAGUCGUGUUAGAUUUCCAAUACUUCUUGGAAUGAUCCCCAUAAAUUGAUUAUAGGACAACGACAAAAUAUUAAGGUUGUUGCAUUUGCCCAUGCCAAAUGGAAUGUUACUAGAAAACUCAUUGCUAUCCAAGUAAAGCCCUUCAAGCUUGGGAAGAUGUUGACACAUAUCAUUAGGCAAACUACCUGAUAGGUUAUUGUUGGAGAGAUCAAUGGUCUUCAAAGAAGAAAUGUUGAAGAUCGAAGUUGGAAUCUGACCUGUAAAGCCUUUAAUUGCUUUAAUAUUAAGCAUUUCCAAACUAAGAAGUUUAAAUCAAUUAAGAAUAAAAUUUUGGCAUGGAAAAAUGUGAUGAAAUCAAUUAAAAAGUUGAGACAUAAUAAGAAGUUUUGAGUCGUAAUUAGUCCUUCUGAUUUGUAUAGACAAAACAUAUAAUACACUAAUAAUAAUUAGUUUGGCAUGAGAAUGUGGCAUCUAAUCAAUCUUAAAAAUGAGAUGACACUGAAUAAUAAUUAGUUAUGAUUUGGGAAACAAAAAUGUUAAAGCCAUUGCUUUUAAUGUAAACUAGUAUGAUUUUUAUCUAUUGGGUUAAUUAUUUAUUUUUAUGAAAUUAUAGUGUAAAAUUUAAAGAUUAUUUUUAUCUAUUACAAAUCAAACUCUUUUAUGAAAAAAAUAUUUUAAAUUAAAGAAACAAAGAAAAUUCAAUAUCUUCUAAGUUAUUCCACUCCAAAUAUAAUCUUCAGUGAAGAAAUCUUGAAGAUGGAAGAUGGAACCUUACCAGAUAAUUGAUUGAAUCCCAAGCUCAAGGACUCUAGAUUAGACAUGUUAACAAGUGUUUCAGGGAUUGUGCCUAUAAAGUUAUUAUUUUUCAUUUUCAGCCUUCGAACUCCCUGUAAGUUCCCAAGCCAUGAUGGAAUUUCCCCAUUAAGACUGUUGUAUUUUAAUCGAAGGAUCCUCAAACGAUGCAAUUGGCCCAAUUCUUUAGGGAGAUGGCCAUAGAAAUGGUUUCUACUCAAGUCGAGAGAGAGUAGAAAUGAAAGAUUUCCAAGGUGUGGAGGGAUACUACCCCUAAGAUUCAUGCUUUUAAGUUUGGAAACAAAUUCAACACAAUGUUUUUGGAGUUUGGAAAAAAUUAAAGUGAAAAACAUACCUUCUAAUUUGUUGUCAGAUAGUCCUAUUAUUUCGAGCAUAGUUGAAUUAAAAAUACUUGAUGGAAUCUGACCUGCACAUAUAGUUGAAAAUUGAAGUGAAAAACAUACCUUCUAAACUGUUCAACUAAAAAAACUUUAAGCAUAUUUGUUUUUCCAUCAAAUUAACUAUUUUGCCUUGAAUGAAAUAAAAUGCUCUUACUUUUGUUAUUUAUUACUAAUCAAACUCUUUUCUAAAAAAAAACUUUAAAUUAAGAAACUAAGAAAAUUCGGUACCUUCUAGGUUAUUAAACCCUAAAUAUAACUUCUGGAGUCGUGUUAGAUUUCCAAUACUUCUUGGAAUGAUACCCAUAAAUUGAUUAUAGGACAACGACAAAUUUUUAAGGUUGUUGCAUUUGCCCAUGCCAAAUGGAAUGUUACCAGAUAAUUCAUUCCAACUCAGGUAAAGCCCUUCAAGCUUGGGAAGAUGUUGACACAUAUCAUUAGGCAAACUACCUAGGUUAUUGUUGGAGAGAUCAAUGGUCUUCAAAGAAGAAAUGUUGAAGAUCGAAGUUGGAAUCUGACCUGUAAGGCCUUUAAUUGCUUUAAUAUUAAGCAAUACCAAAUCAAGAAUAUUACCGAUUUCCAAACCAAGAAUUUAUAGAAGAAACAAAUUUAACACAAUGUUUUUUGAGUUUGGAAAAUGUUAAAGUGAAAAACAUACCUUCUAAUUUGUUGUCAGAUAGUCCUAUUAUUUCGAGCAUAGUUGAAUUAAAAAUACUUGAUGGAAUCUGACCUGCACAUAUAGUUGAAAAUUGAAGUGAAAAACAUACCUUCUAAACUGUUCAACUAAAAAAACUUUAAGCAUAUUUGUUUUUCCAUCAAAUUAACUAUUUUGCCUUGAAUGAAAUAAAAUGCUCUUACUUUUGUUAUUUAUUACUAAUCAAACUCUUUUCUAAAAAAAAACUUUAAAUUAAGAAACUAAGAAAAUUCGGUACCUUCUAGGUUAUUCAACCCCAAAUAUAAUUCUUUGAGUUGUGUCAGAUUUCCAAUACUUUUUGGAAUGAUCCCCAUCAAUUGAUUAUAGGACAAUGACAAAAUUUUAAGGUUGCUGCAUUUGCCCAUGCCAAAUGGAAUGUUACCAGAUAAUUCAUUCCGACUCAAGUAAAGCCCUUCAAGCUUGGGAAGAUGUUGACACAUAUCAUUAGGCAAACUACCUGGUAGGCUAUUGCUGGAGAGUUUAAUAAUCUUCAGAGAAGAAAUAUUGAAGAUGGAAGAUGGAACCUGACCAAAUAAUUGAUUGAAUCCCAAGUUCAAGAUCUCUAGAUUAGACAUGUUAACAAGUGUUUCAGGGAUUGUGCCUGUAAAGUUAUUAUUCUUCAUUUCCAGCCUUCGAACUCUCUGUAAGUUCCCAAGCCAUGAUGGAAUUUCCCCAUUCAGACGGUUGUAGCUUAAUUGAAGGAUCCUCAAACGAUGCAAUUGGCCAAAUUCUUUAGGGAGAUGGCCAUAGAAAUGGUUGCUACUCAAGUCGAGAGAGAGUAGAAAUGAAAGAUUUCCAAGGUGUGGAGGGAUAGUACCCCUAAGAUUCAUGCUUGUAAGAUUCAAAGCUAUAACUCUUUUAUGGAGGAUGCCACAAGAAACACCAAUCCAAUUGCAAACAGAGGUUGAGGCCGUCCAAUUGUUUGCCAAGACAUUUUGAGGACCGGCAAUGCGAUCCUUAAACUCGAGAAGUGCAAACUGAUCGGAGUUGAGAUUCCUGACUGUCAUACCCCAGCAAAGUCCGGAACAUGGUAUGAAUAAAGCUAAAAGAAGAUGAAAGCAAGUGUUGUAGUUCAUGAUAGCAAGACGGAAUAAGCCAAGAAAAUAAAAAAAAGUAGGACAAGGGAAGUUGAGUUGAUAAAAUAGUUUGGAUGAUGAAGAAAAGCCCAGAGAGCAUGCUUUAAUAUGUUUUGAAGAAAUUUCAAAAUAAAUUUCAAAAUAAAUUUCAAAAUAAAAAUUUAAAAAGGAAAGCAAAGUUUUGAAGAAAUUUCAAAAUAAAUUUCAAGUCUUCUUCUUUAAAAAAUACGUACAAAGAGCGAAUUUUCAAAAUUUUUCCUAAAUUUUCUUCACAUUACUCCACAUAAUCCAUUAAAAAAACUUAAAAAAUAUAUUUUAUUAAUUACUAUACAUUCUUUUAUUUUCAGAAUAAUAAAUUGUUUAAAAUUUGCUAUUAGUCCCUAUAAUUUAAAAGUUAAAAAAAAUUCAAUCCUCCUACUUUUCUAAUUUAAAAAUUUUAGUUCAAUCAAUUUUAAUUUUAAAAUCUCUGUAUAAAAGGUGUUUUUUUUGUGACCGAUCACACUUAACCAAUAUUUAAAAAUUAAUAAAAAAUAUUUUUUUUUGAAAUUUAAAGUGAUCUAAAAACAUAUUUUUAAGUGCUUUGGACCGUCUAUUGUUGAUUUCCUUAUUAUAUUAAGUGUUUGCAAUCACUCCUAAUAUAUUGUGCUUGAGUUGUGACAAAGCCGAUCAUCAAAUUGCCAUAAUGAUCUAUUGAUGCUGAAAUUGAAGUUUUUGUUAUAUUGAUAGAGCUUGUCCUUCAACGCGUACAACGUGUUUGUUAUUUUUCUCCCUUCAAAUUGUAUGAUCUUAUUCAUUAAAUGAAUUAAUGAAUUUCCCUUUUAAAAAGAUAUAUUUUUAAAAAUUAAAUACUUUAUAAAAUAUUUAAAAAUUUGUAAGCCUUAAAACAAUCAACAAAAUAUUUUUGAAAUUUUAUAAAUAUAUUUUAAAACUAUAGUAACGCUACAAAAUAUAUAUAUUUACUAAUUAUAUGCACCUUUUUUAUUUUUAUUUCCUAACAUAUCAUUAUUUUCAACACUAUCGUAAUCCUGUUUUGAUAAUUCCCUUUCCAUACAUCCUUUUUCUACAUAGAAUUUCAAAAGAAAAUGUGAAUUAAUGUAAACGUGAGAAGACUUAAUUACAUUUAUUAGUUUAUCAAUCAAAACUUAAUUAGAAUCCAUCAAUAUUUCACACAUCAAAAACCCAAACAUAAAAUUCACUUUUAAAUUAUUUGAAGAUACAUUUGUAUUAUAGGAAAUCGAUUAAAUUAGUCUUUUAUUAUUAAAUGUAUUAUUUUAAUCUUUGUAUUAGGUAUGAAUGAUAUCUCCUAAAUUGAAGCCAGAGCUAUUCUUGAAAGACUGAAAUUAGGAUUCAGAUGUGUUGAGAUGGAAAGUGACAACACAAUGUUGAUUGAAACUAUUUGUAACAGGUUGACUACAAUAAGUAGUGCUGCCGAAGUAAGACAGAUUCACGAUUGGUGUUCCAAAAAUUGGGAAGUCAAAUUUAGACAUAUUCAGCGGAAUGCCAAUAAAGUUGUUGAUUGCAUAGCUAAGGCAAAUGGAGGCGUAAUUGAGCAGCUGGUUAUCUUGGAAGAUCCUCUGCAUUAUGUGAGAUGGUAGCUUGAAGAAGAUAUUAGACAGUCACUAGUGACUGAUGAUAAUUUUCAUUUGGACUGAUGAGCGCUUAAUUUUCUAAGCUUAUGUUCAACAAAAAAAAUUUUAACUACGUUUAAAUUGUAAUAGAGUUAACAUUUAGUGUUUAAAAAAUAUCUUAAAAAUUAUUAUUUUUUCCAAUUGCAGUUCAAUUCCACAAAUAUCGACGAUGAAUCCGGACAUAAAAAUUAUAGAAAAAAAACACAUCUAUUAUCAAACCAACAAUCCAUGUCUAAACUUAAAUUAACAAAAUUUGCCACGCAACGCCCAGUACACUAUUAUAUAUAUACUAGAUUUAUUCUAGAUGCACAUGUUUUAUUAUAUUUAAAAUUUAAAAUAUAUGGUUGACUAAGUGUUAGUUGAGUUAGUAUUGCUAUUAUUGUCAGUGUAAGGAAAUGUGAGUUUAAUUGCGCUCAAAUGUGUUUUAUCCUCCAAUUCAAGGGUUAGGAAAAGGUUAUUGAUAAUUAAGUUAUACCAACUUUUAUGAUAUUAAAAAAAGGAUUUAUAAAUAAUAUAAGGAAAAGAAAGAAAGAGAAACAUAUUCAUAUUGAUGGGCUCUUUCAAUAUUAGACUUUUUUUUCUAUCACAAGUAAAAAUAUCAAAGGUGAUAAUAAUUAAAUUAUAAAAUUUAAAUUGAGAAAAUAGGGGAUUGAGUUUAUAAGUUUUAAAGUAUAAAGAAUGAAUAUAUAACUAACAACAUAUUUUAACCACAUAAUAAAAGUAGUUAUGGUAAAAUAAUGACCUGAAUAAUUUUAAACGUCUCAUCCUUGCAAAAAUGAAAUAAUAGAAAAGAAAUAAGUGUUGGGUGUAGUGGCAAUGUACAUCAUACUUCUAAGGGGAGAUUAGGGUUUUAGACAAGGGAAGAAUUUUAAACUUGCUCUUUUCUCUAGAACUCAACGCAAACCUCAAAUUUAUCUUUUUAAAAGAAUUUAAAAAUAUGUAUAUAAAAGGUGAUUUUUUUACCGAUCACACUUAACAAAAUUUUAAAAAAAAAUGAAAUUUAAAGUGAUCUAAAAACAUAUUUUUAAGUGCUUUAGACCAUCCUGUGCUGAUUUCUUUAGUAAUUUGAUUUGUUCAAUAUAGAUUUUGGUAACUUAAAACAAAAUUAAUAAAAAAUUAUUUUUUUAGAUAUCUUUUUAAUGUUUAAUAAUAAGUUAAUUUAUAAAAUAUACUUUCAUUGGACACAGGGCCUCCAAGGCGGUGAACCACUAAUCAAAUUAAUUUUGAGAUACUUAAAUUUGUUUUCAUCAAUUAAGAAAUUAAAAAAAUUGUUGAGACCUCAUGAUUAUGUUUUAUAAUUUCAGGCUUAUCAACUAUUUUGAAAAACAACAAAACGUCUUACACCAAAAACUAAAAAAUAAAAACGUCGACAUUAAAUUUGUUGGCAUGCAAUCAAUUUUAAGAUGGUUUUUGGAGUUAUAUAUCACCUUAGCAUUGACUUACUUUUCUACAGUUUGUCUUCUCCAACAAGUUAAAUAUUUCAAUUUUAACAACAUUGACAGGUCUUUGGGGUAGGGUCGAGCAAAAUUCAAUAAAAACAGAUGAUAUAAGUUGAGUUGGCUCGGCCAAGUCGAGUCGAUUUGUUCAAAUUAUUUAAAUUAGUAAAUUUUAGGGUGCAAUUAGAAUUUUUUGUUUUGAGAUGCUAAUUAGAUUAAAAAAUUUCAGUUGCUAAAACAAAAAAAUUGUAUUUAAAAAGGCAUAAAUUAAAUAAUUAAGUUUUUCGAGUUUCCAUUUAAUCAAAGGUUAAAAGGACUAAAUUGAAGCUUUUUAUUUUUAAGAAAGGCUGAAUGACAAAUUGCCCAAAGCCCAUGGCCCUAGCUAUACAACUAACUUUUCUAUGAUUAGUCCUUGGUUUGCUUUGGGUGAAAUCUUCCAACUAGCCUCAUCCUUGGUUUUACUUUCCAACAAUUAGUGUAUCGCGGGUUUUGUUUUCUUUAAAAAAUAUUUGUGGAUAUUAGGAGAUAAUGAAAAUUAUUUUACUAUGAAAUUUUAAUAAAACUGGAAAAUAAGUAAUUUAUUUUAAGAGAUCACAAUUAAACGUUAGAUUUCCCCUUUUUAAAUUAUAAAUUUUUUUUUGACAAUUGCAUAAUAUUUUGAGCGUUGUAGGAAUGCCAUAAUAUAACCUUCCCUACGCAUAAUCGACUCUUGAGCAUGAUGGAUCCUAGACCUUCUCCUCUAUUCUCGUACCACAAAUUGCUUCAAGUGUGGGUUCGAACAAUCACAAAUUAAACGCAAAACCAAAAAUGAUUUAUUACUUUCAAUAGCAAAGUAAUUCUCUCUCAAUAGAAACCAAUAGAAUUGUAAUUCCUAGAAAAUAAAAUUUAUUUUUUGAAAAUAUAUUCUCACUACUUUCUAGCAGAAUAACAAUAUGUGAAACUUAUGUCUUGUGUUAAUAGCUCUACCAGUACUAUCUAUUUAUAGGGAGAGACACGAGAAUCCUGGUUGAAUUAGUAAAACACGAAUAAUAUUUAUUUCAUAGAAAACAAUAUUCCACCCUAAGUAGAUCAAGUUUGUAUGACGCAUGGAUCAAAGCUCAAUCUAGGAGAAAAAAAACAAAGGAAUUUUCUUUGUAAAGAAAAUUUGAGAUUGUACUAUUUUCAAAGUUAUAAAUAAAAUUAUACGCCAAAUUUUCAAGUCAAUUUUCAACUCCAAUUUUGUAUGCACAAAUUUCUAAUACACUUGGUGGGACAUUCUUUGACUUUUAUCUAUUCUCUCAAAAAGUUAAAGUUCAAAGUUACAUUAAACUCAAAGAAGAUAUUCAUUAGUAAACCACCUCACAAGCCUGCUCAAGCUAAUCCUACAACUCGUUCCACUUCAUCAUCAAACACCAAUAUUCUUGCUUAUCCUUAUGGAAUUAAACAGUCUCAUUUUCUGCAUUUUGGGUACACACUUAGUUUUGUUUGAUGCUAAAACAGUCCCCGAGCACUCCAAAACCUAUAAUUGAACAAAUAAUACUAAUUUAAUCUUACAUAACAUGAUCCCAAAUUGAAAUUGUAUCGAGGUUUUAACCCAUAAGUGACUAAACCUUACCUUCAACCGAUGAACAGUAAUUCCCACACAAACUAAGACUCCAAUUGGAGAUUACGAGCCAUUGAAUCCUCCCCUAAUUGGCAUAAACAAAACACUUCAAAAGAAAGUUAACAAAUGGAGACAAAUCACUUAUCUAAAACUUACCGAACGAUCACAGAAAAACGUGGAGUGACACGAGGCAGAGUGGGAAAAGAAAAAUCAAGAGGAUGAAGGGUGAAAGAGAGCAAAAAUUCGGUAGCAAUGAAGAGAAAAACAGCAAGAAAGUGGAGGGAUUUUAGGGAAAGUAAAAAAAAAGAUGAAUAGAAUAUUUGAUAACUACCCAAUCCCUUAUUUCUCUCUAUCAAACUCCCCACUAAAUCCACUACUCGAAUUUUUAGUCCAUCUCAAACUCUCCUGGACGCACGAGCAAAAAAUAAUGACCAUGCCAAAAUUUAAACAAAAGACCUCCUUCACACCAACACUCCACUUAUCCACCAGACCAAUAGGCUCAUUCUUUUAAUUAUUUUCCAACUUUUACUUAAAAGCCUACUGACCAAAGAUAGGGCUUAUUCAUAAAAAUACCAAAUUUUGCCCAAGACCUGGCUUGAACUUGGGACCUCUCAAACACACCCAGAACACAUAACCACUAAAGCAGACAGAAAUUUUGUGUCACACAUUCACAAUACCCAAAAUUAAAAUUUUAGGGCGUUACAAAAACACAUUAAACAAUAUCGCAUAAAACAAUCACAGUCAGAUAACAAUUCAGAAUGUCGAUUUUACAAUUUAACCACCAAUAGUAUCAUAGUAUUCACAGUUGUAAUUUCAGAAUAUCAAAUUUCCACAUCAUUCACAAUAUUCACACAUAUAUAAAUAUAUCAUAAUAGAAUUCUAGAUUUGUAUGCACAUGAUUUAGAAGAUGCCAUACAAUUUUGGGUUUUAACAGAAUAAAUCCUACCCCACAUUACAUACCAUAAUGGGAGUUCCCCUAAACUCCCUUCUCCAACACACUAGGUUGUGGAUAAACCACUAUUGGUUCACAAAUAAUAACUGUCAUUUGGCUGUGGACACAUAGCAAGUCCCCGCAAUUGGAUUCUAGAUUUGGUUGUGGAUUCACAGCAAAAAAAUCCUACAAAUGAAGCCUGCUUUUGCCUGUAGAUUAUACAACAUAUACCCGCAGUUGGAAUCUGUCUUUGGCUGUGGAUGCAGUGUAACACCUCAAACUCGACCUAGACGUUAUGGCUAAAUCUUAAUGAUUUACUUUAACUCGCUAGAAAGCCCACGAAUUUACUUUAAAAUCAUGUGGUUAAACUAGUGUUCACUUUGAUAAAUCGUUUUCCAGUUUUAGAGAAAAUUCUUGUUAAAACUGUUACUUUAUUACAAUAAAACAUUGAAGUAAUUGUAUCAUUUUGUAGUGGAAUCUACUAAGCUAUAAGGUUUUGAAAAUCGUGAUUUAGUUUGAAACAAAUCAUUUUGCAAAUAGAAAUUUAAUACUACUUAAUUUGGAAAAGCACGCUAAAACGAAAGCAAAGUCCAAAAUAAUUUACGGUUUGAAAUUCUAAAAAGCCCAAAUUAGUCAUAAAGUCUAUUUAAACCAAUUUAUCGAAAGUGUAACACCCUAAACCCGGCCUGUAUGUUAUGGCCAAAUCUAGAUGUGUUACGAAAAAAAGUUUAUAAAACGACUUCCUUGUUAUUGGCAAAUCAUCGUAGCCAUUAUUACUUAGUAUAUCUGAUUUGUUUGGAAAACUUAUUGAUAUACUUAUUUGAUUUAAAAUCGUUGCUCACUUACGCCUUUUUAUUAAACCAAAUAUUUUGCAGCGGAGUUUCUUUAAAACAUCAUAUUUUGGAAAAUCAAAUUGUUUCUUGAAAAUCGUUAUUUUAGAAAAGUUGUCAUUUUCAGAAAAAUUAUUUUAUCAGUUGUUAUGCUGAGAAAACAAAAUAAAAUCCAAAACCAAAAAUAGUCCCAAAAAGUCUAGAGAGUCCCAAAAUGACAAUACUCUUAAAACUAGACAAGUUUAAACUAAUUUUAAAAGAAUGAAAUUUUACAGAAAUGUGGACACCACUGAGCUUCCGUCGCACCGACCCACCUAAAUCUGAGGGUUACUUGAACAGAAUAAACAAACAGAGAGUGAGUUUUGAAACUUAGUGUCUAACGCGUAUAUAAACAAAAAUUCAGAAUCAAUCUCAUGCAGAACAGAUACAAGUGUAAACCUUUUAUAAAAUUAGAAUUAUACAGAUACAAAUAUGCAACAUCCUACCCUCAUCCUCUACACACCAACUCCGACCAUUCUAUCACACCACGUGGGGUAUAAAAUACCCACCCAGCCCUACACACCGUAUAGUAUUUAUAUGACACUUUUUGGAAUAAUCGCAGCAGAGUUGCCAGUAUAUAGGCGAGAUAUCACCUCACACAGAACACUUCCUCCUCAUAAUACAAAUCCCGCCCCAUAGCCAGAUACAGACAAAAUAUCAUGUAAAAUAAAUUAACAGAUACUAGAGUUAACAUAUCACGCAUGAGCGUAUAAUAGAUAUUACACAUGCUUAUGCAUAACAAAAUAGAUCAUACAUAUUGUAUUCCAUAAUACUCAUAUAAAUGUUAUUUACGUCAAUCUCAAUCUAAUAGAGUAGCUGAUUUCAUGCUUUAACUCUUAUACCACACAUACAGACCCUAUAGAAGGCCCACAGUUGAUCGAGACAACAUGUAUGUCCCUAGGGAAAAAAUUUGUAAUUUGGGCCCAUAUGCAUGUAUGAGCCCACACACCCAAAAUGGCCUUGCCCAUGUGGCUCACCUACCUAGCACUCAGCCCAUACGGUCCAAAAUGGCCUAGGUCGUGUGUCACACACAGCCGCAUGUUGCACACAGCCUACCACAUAGCGAGUCACAAAACCGUUUGGAGUUGACAAGCCUAAUUUUUGGCUUUCGUCAAUCGUCAUUUUCUUACGUUUUCAUUACACACUUGGUUUGAUUCUGACCCAAAAGCAACCCUAAGUCCACCGAAACCUAAAAAUAGCAUUCCAAUGCCCAAUUUCAGUGAACAUUUACAAAACUUAAACAAAAACUAUCCAAAAACAUAGCCUCACAAUAGCAUCCAAUGCACUCGCACACUUACCGUCAACGAAUAGGAAACACCCAACACUCAAUUCGUUGGCGGAGCACCAAUUAUGAUAAUGCAAAAAUUUUAUGGAUUCUCAACACUAUCGAUCCAAAUGUAAGAUUGAUGCUUUCCAAUUAUGAUAAUGCAAAAAUUUUAUGGGAUGGUUUACAUGAAUUUUUGUUGUUGUCAACGAUCAAUGUAUUCAAUAAUUAAAAGAAAAUAUUAGUCGUUGUUAGAAAACCAAUACUAUGAGUGUUGUAGUUUAUUUCAGUAAAUUAAAGGUUUUGUGGGAUGAACUAGACAAUCAUGAACAAUUGAUUUAUUGCAAGUGUGGACAAUGUUUAUGUAACUUAGGGAAGACGGAUGAACAAUGUCGUGAGCAUGAUCGACUUCAUCAAUUACUUCUUGCUCUCUAUUCUAAUUGUUAUGCUCAAACUAGGUUUACAUUGUUUUACCAAGAUCCUUUGCCUUCCUUAAAUCAGGCAUUCCAACAAAUUACUUAGGAGGAACAUGUACGUGGAAUUACACUGAUUAAGGAAGAGAAGUCUGAUAUUUUAGGCUUUGCUUUGCAUACAGAAGGUCAUAACAAAGGCCGAGCUAAUUGUAUUGAUAAGUCAACCUUGUUGUGCACUCAUUGCUAUCGCAAAAGGCAUGAGAUGGCUACCUAUUUUGAAUUACAUAGCCACUUGGAUUGGCGGCUUAAGAAGUAUGGGAAGCCAGAGAAGAAAAGUGAUGAUCGUGGUGGUAAGACAAGUGCACAUCUUCCACGUAAGUAUUUUAUUUCAAAGGAUCACAAUUAAACAUUAGAUUUCUCAUUUUUAAAUUUUUUUUAUUUUUUUAACAACUACGUAAUUAACGAGUACCAAUUUUGGGUGUUGUAGGGGUUCUAUAACUUUCCCUAUAUGUAAUCGACUCUUGCACCCUCUUUUUUUCUCUAGAAUUCAAUGCAAACCUUAAAUUUAUCUUUUUAAAAGAAUUUUAAAAUCUCUUUAUAAAAGACGAUUUUUUUAGGUGACCAAUCACAGUUAAGAAAAACAAAUCGGUGGCAACUCCUUUCUAAUAAAUGUAAAAAACUUUUUAAACAAAAUAAGGUUGAAAUAAUCUAGUUGUCGUUAUACUUUGAUAAAAUUUUAGAUUUAGUCCUUAUACUUAAAAGGUUAAAAAUUAAGUCUUGUUUUUAUUUAAAAAUCUUAGUCCUAUCGUUAAUAUUGUUUUUUUUUUGUCAAAAUUUGUCAAGUUGACAUAUUAAUUAGGUUUCUCUUAUAUAUCGUGGUAUAUGACUAACACAAAAUAAACAAGUUGACAAAUUCUACAAAAAAUAUCAAAGAUGAUAAUAGUUUAAUUAAAAUUUUUAAAUUAAAAAAGUAAGGGAUUAAAUUUAUAACUUUUAAAGUAUAAUGAAUGAAAUUAUUGAAAUACAAGAACUAACAACAUAUUUUAAAAAUAUUACUAGUAAAUUAUAUAUCUACAACAAGAAUUGUAACCUCUUAUAUUAUAUUCUUGUAUUUAUUUUUGCAUCUUUCAUAAUAUGAUUUAUUAAUUUUAAUAUUUUUAUAGAAUAAUAUGCUUUAAAUAGUUUUUUGUAUCAUUUAUAAAAAUUAUAAUAAACUUACAAAAUAAUUUAAUGAUAUUUAAUUAUUAAUCGAAAAAAAUGAUAUCAUAUAUAUUAUGUAUAUAUUAAGAUUCCAAAUCAUUAAUUAUAUAUCUACGCAUUAUAAUAAAUUCAUCUUUCAAAAUUUUCCUUAUAAUUAAAGCAUAAAUUAUAUUUAUAAUAAUAUAAAUAUAUUCUAUCAUAAAUAUUCUUUCAAAUAUUUUUUAAUGUUUAAUAAUAAGUUAAUUUAUAAAAUAUUCUUUCAGUAAAUUAACGUGAUGAGAUCGUUAGGUGCUUGGAUUUGGUGAAGGGGGAUGAAGAGAAAAGGGAUGGAAGUGAAUAAAAAUGUUGAGAAAUGGAAAGGGUUAGCGAGGGAAGCCGCCAUGAAAGGUGGUUCAAUGGAUAUGAACCUUCAAGCUUUUGUGGAUGAUGUUACUCAAGGUUGUUGCAAGUAAAUUUAAAAAUGUUUUUAAAUUAUUUUUUUGUUAAAAAAACAUUUUUUACUUUUUUAUGUGGCAUGCCACAUUAUCAUACUAUCAUGUGACAAUUUCUGGUGAUUUCUGUCCGCAACAUUAGUCAAAUCAACUGUUAAAUCGUUCAACUCACAGUUUUUGUUAAAUGAAGAGGUUAAUUGAUUUUUUUUUGGAAUCAUUGAGUACUCAAUUGGUGCACUUUUUUCAUAAAGGCUAAAUUAAUUUUUUAAUUUGUUAUUGUUGAAGGCUAUAGCAAUAAAAAAAAUUGAGGUAAAAAAAUAUUAGAGCUAAAUUUGUCAUUAUGCCUAAAAUGUAAAACCAAAUUUUUUUGAAAAUGAAAAAAAAUGGAAAAUCGCAAAUUCCGUCGCAUAUUUUUGCUUAAAAUUAUAGUUUUGGUCACCAAUCUUUUGAAGUAAAUAUAGGUCACCAAUAUUAUCAAUUUGUUACUUUGUAAUAACUCACCUUAAGUUAUACCCCGACGCACGAAAGGAUUAAAUGACAUUGGGAUACCAUCAAACUUGUAUCUUAAAUACACAUUUACCCCUAAUUUUAUCACAUUCUUCUUAAUUGGUAUUUAUGGUUUAGAAAAUUUUACAAAUAUAUUAUUUUUUAAGAAAUUAUAAGAAGAUUACAAAAAUUCCAAAAUAAUAUAAAAAAGCUAAGGAAAACCUAGAAAUUCAAAAAAAAAAACGUGGACAUUGAAUUUGCUGUUUCACAUUAAAUUUUUGGAGAAGUAGAAUUUUCUAACUUAUUUUCCAUCAACUUCACUUCAAUUUUCAAUCACAAUCUAUUGCAUUCAAGAGCACCACAUCUUUUGGGAUGAAACAAACCUCUCAAUUUUAAGAUAAACGGAAUCUAUUGCAUUCAAGAGCACCACGUCUUUUUGGAUGAAACAAAGCUCUCAAUUUUAGGAUAAACGGGUCUUUAGGGUUAUAAAUUGAGGUCCUUUUCCACAAUUGCGGGUGAUUCGUUGAUAAUAACCUCAACAUUUCUGUAUCACAUUUAAUUCAAUUCCACAUUCAAUUUUUAGUUUUUAGAGAGAUGAUUGGGUUACAACAAUGGUUUGAAGUGAAGAUAUUUCAAAACAAGAUGAAUACUCUACCAAUAGUCAUAAUUUAAAAUGCAGGUUAUGUUUCAUUUCAGCUAAGUUAAAUGUUAAGAUUGAGGUUAAACCUUUUAGAGGUUGCUCGCAAAAGGAUCAAACCUUUAUAAAAUUGUUUAAAUGAAGGUCAAACCUCUUAAAAUAGACAAAUAAGGGCCUAACCUUUUAAAAGGUGUUCAAAUAAGGGUUUCUCAAAUUUUGUAUAUCAGGUUAUGUAUUUUACUCUAAACACAUCGACAUUUACCUAUUUUUUCUAUAAAUUGGGUUGAAGUGCAUGAAAAAACCUUAUUUAAGCACUUCUGUAAAGGUUAAACUCUUAUUUGACUAUUUUGAAAGGUUUGAUCCUUAUAUAAGCAACCUCUAAAAGAUUGAGUACUAAUUUGACAAGAUUGAGAAAUACCUAAAUUUGUUUUCAUGAAUCAAGAAAAUAAAAAAGAAAUGUUGAGAAAUAUUUUAGAGAUUCUUAGCUUUGACAAGUUCCCUCCAUCAUCUUCCUGCCUCCAGUCCCACCUCUUCUCUUAUGCUCCUCCCAGCUUCUUGCUUUUUGUGUGUUGAAAUUUCAAAGGAACAAAAUAUCAACCUACAUCAUAAGGCACGAUUGCCAGAACUUUACUUUCUAGCCUGUCGAUCCGAUCCAAUGAAAGAAGAACAAAGAGUCUCAAGAUCUGUCAACUUUAUUUCAUUUUCAUUUUCUUUGUCAUUUUCUAUGUUUCAUGUCGAAUACAAUGAAAGAACAUAGAAAAAUGUUGCCUAUUUAUUUCCCAAUCAUCAUGAAAUUACUUGCCAUAGACUUAGAAUUUUCUCACCAAUUUUCAAGCAAUCUGACAUGAUUUCUCAAUCACAAUUAAUUGAAUUCAAGAUCUUUUUAGAUGACACAAACAUUUCAAUUUUAACACAAACCAAUAUUUAGGUUGUACUUCAGUGCUUGACAAGCACUUUCACAUUUGUGGGAUAAGAACUCUUAACAUUUUAGGAUCACAUUUAAUUCAAUUGCAUUUAAGACCUCACGAUUUUAUUCUAUAAUUUCAGUCUUAUCAGCCUUUUCGGAAACAAUAAAACGUCGACAUUAAAUUUGUUGUUGAUGCAUUCAAUUUUUUGAGGGGUCUUUGGAGUUAUAUGUGACUUUAGCAUUGACUGACUUUUUUAUAAUUAAUCUUUUAUAAUAUAUCAAUUUUAAUAACAUCGACAUGUUUUUUAGUAGGGUCUAGCAAAACCCAAUUAAAACCGAUGAUAUUGGCUUAGUUGACUCGGUCAAGUCCAUUAGAUUGAUAAAAUCAAUUUUAAAAUCAGUUAUAAUGGAUUAAGGUAAUUAAUUAUCGAGUAAUGAAAUACAUAAUCAAAUCAAUUGAUUUUGUUAGAAACUAAAAGAAAAUGAGAUAAGCUGAAAACUGAUUGCCCUUUAUUAAAAUUAACGAAUCCGCCCUUUACGUAUUAGAUAAUACGAACAUCACAUAUAUAAUAAGAAAAAUUACGUAUGAUUAUUUAUUAUCAUAAAAGGUUAGUUUAAAUUUAAAGUAAUCUAAUAUGUUUAUUGAACUUCAACUAUUAAAUAAAGUAUAAGCUAAAUAAGUAUAAAUAUUCUAGAAACCAUUUCUAACUGAUGAUAGGCUAAUUCGAUUAAUUUAUAAAAACUACAUAGUAGGGUUAUAGUCCUCAAACUACACCUAAUUUAAUAAUAUUUAUAGUUUUUUUUUUAGCCUUAAACAUUUAUAGUUUUUUGUUAAUUUGGUCCUUACUCUUUAAAAUUACAUAAAAAUUGCAAAAAAAAUUAAAAUUAAUUUUUUUUCAUAAUUUUAAUAACAUUUAUAGUUUUUUUUUUGUGUGUGGUUUGGUAACUUAUCAACUCGACUCUCACUUGUAACCAACUUUUCUAACCUUUUUCGUACCCUUAACCUAAGUCCCGUUACAACUUUCUAAAGACCUCUUUAUCAGUGUAUCAUGUCGGUUUGUUUUAUAAUGGUGGAGAUUUGUUUUUUGUAGUGGCACGAUUGCCAGAACUUUACUUUCUAGCCUAUCGAUCCGAUCCAAUGAAAGAAGAACAAAGAGUCUUAAGAUCUGUCAACUUUAUUUCAUUUUCAUUUUCUUUGUCAUUUUCUAUGUUUCUUGUCAAAUACAAUGAAAAAAGAACAUAGAAAAAUGUUGCAUAUUUAUUUCCCAUUCAUCACUCUAACAGGCCCAAUUAGCCCAGGCCCAAACAUUAAUAAAAUGUCUAGAUUACAAAAUAAUCAACUAAAAAUUAAAAGCUCAAAAAAUAAAAUAAAACCCAUUAUAUUAACCCAAAACCCCAGCCCAAUUACAUUGAAACCCAAAAAAAAAAUAGUUUUCAGAAACCCCUAGGGUUUCAGAAGCCCCUCAAUGUUAUUUUGUAUAUCUAUUUAUCUUUUUAAAUUUUCGAUAUUGUCUUGUUUUGUUUUUGUAUUAUUGUUGUUACCAUCAUUAUUCAUUAUUAUUAUUGUUGAUUUUAUUGUUCUUUGAUUAAUGUUAAUGUUAGAGUAAUAGAUGUUAUGUGAUCAUUGUUAUUAUAUGUUAUAAUUUGUUUACACUCGUAUUGUAGUCAUUUGUCAGCUUAAUAUUUUGAGUAAUAUUUUAAAUAUUACAUUAAUUUCGACCCAAAUGCAUAAUUUUUUAAUAAGUAAUAUUUUAUAUUUUGAAAUUUGAGAGAUCAUUCCCUAACUUACGGGGUCUCAAUUUUUUCGAUAAAUCUGAAUAUACUAACUAUUUUCAAAAAAUAUGUUUUAAAAUUAUCUCGGGAAUUUAAAAAGGAGCGUGUUCUAACUUACUGAAUAUGAUCUUUUUUUUAAAAUCGAGAUAAUCAAAUAACUUUCAAAUAAAUAAAUUUUCAAUGUUUAUUCUCAUAUCAGGAUUUAAAAUAUUAUAUCCUAACUCACGGGAUACAAUUCUUUUUCUCGAUUAACAUGAAAUAUGCCCGUUUUAAUUUUAUUUUUUAAGUGAUUUUAACAAAAGGAUUGUAUUUUAAAUCUCUUCAAAAUUUUCAAUUUUUCGACAUUGAGACAUUAACUAAUCAAUUAGGUACCAAUUUUGGGCGUUACGAGGGUGCUAACCCUUCCUCAUACGUAACCGACUCCCGAACCUAUUUUUCUGAAUAUUGAAGGCCAAAAUUGUUUUAAUAAAUUAAACCCUUAAGACGUGACCCCAUCACACCUCAUAAAAAUUAUCGGUGGCGACUCUCGUUUGCGUUUUUGUUUUCGUUUUCAAAAUAAAAGUCGACCCCUUGUUUUAAAAAAGGUGGUUCGAUAGCUUGGCGACUCCGUUGGGGAAAAAAAUAAGAGAGUCAAGCCACGAGUUGAUUAUUUCUUAUUUUUUGUCAGAAAUUGUGAAUUCGAUUUAAAUUUACGAUCUUUUCAUUGCAUUUUAUGGUCUGCAUCAUUUUGAUAUGCUUGCUUUACUGGUUCGAGUCUUUUAAUCUCCGCAUAUUGCAUUGCAUAACCGUUCGGUUAUACCCUUUUAAGUGGGAGUGAGAAACUAUUCAUUUGUGAGAUUUUUACCUCCGUAUAGGAUAGUGGAUUACUUUCGGGAUACAUCCGUACCUAUGUCUUCGUGAGAUUUUCAUCUCCGUAUAGUUAUAGGGAAAUGUAUUCCCCUGAACUGAACUCAGUCCGUAUGAGCCUAUAAUAGGUAAGGAUUGAGGAAUCUGCUGGUUCAGGUACCCUUUCUUUAGAACUAAACUGCAUGUAGUGAGCCCUAAGAGCAUACCGUAGGUAGAACCACUCCAAACCCCUAGUGGUCACCCAAAUAGGUGCUCUAUUUAUUUUUGCUUGCUUAUUUUUGCAUUGUACUAACCUAUUUUUUUGUUAUGAUUGCAUUGCAUUUUCAUCAUAAAAAAGAUGUGUUGAUUCACGUUCAAUUGCUAAAUAGAGAGCUUGUCAUGGAAAACGGAUUUCUUGAUAAAGUGGAAGACAAUGUGGUUAUCCGGAUAUGGUCCAAGAAAAUUUGACGAAAGAAGGGUGAUAGUCUAAUGGAGGACUACACGACCUUGCUUUAUUGCCCGAGGAUUCAAGUUGACAAAGAUUAUUUGAGAGUCCUCAAUGUCCCGACCUUUUUCAAGAAGCUAACGAGUGUCACGAGGAUGAGUGAGUAAUGAGUUGCGGCCCGGAUCAAGCAAAAAAGAGAUAGAGGAGACACCCUUUUUGAAGAGUUCGCGAGAUUUAUAUUAAUAUCAAAAUGAAGAAAAAGAUCAAUGUCUUCGCCUGGAGUAUGAAAGCAAAGCUGUAUAUAUAUCCGCUUUAUGUAAAUAAAUUUGUUUUCUAGUAAAGUUUUUCUAAUAGAAUUGAAUCAGAAUCAAUGUCUUUUUUUGCAUUCAUUCCAUUCAUCUGCAUUGCAUUUCAUUGCAUCCAAAAUUUCACAAAAGGACCCUAAUUAAUUGAAAUUGUUAUAGUUACUCUGAAAACUAAUAAAAAUCUACCAAUUAAAUAUUCCUACGGUACCCGUCGCAAAACCAAAGUAAUGGAUCAAAUAUUAGAAAGAUUAGAACAAAUUCUGAAAGACAAGCAUAAUCGUUUUUGCUUAGGGUACAAGCCAGAUACAAGACAAAGAAGGAAGGAGUUAGAGAAGAAAUAGGAAAGAAUGACAGCAUAUUUGAGCGAGGAUGAGGUCAAAUGGGAGCCUAUGAACUUUCCCUACAUAUCCAAAACUUUUGUAUCGGGAGGGAUUAUUCAUCCCGAGCGAAGAAUGCCAAGAGAAGAAAAUAUUGAAGAAAUGUUGGGAAACGUUCACAUCAAUGCCAUAUACGAAGAAGUAGUUGAAGGAUGGACCUUGUUAGAUAUCCGACCUUAUGAACCUGGGAGUGUGCUAAACAAUUGGACUACAGAAGAAAUUCCUGUAGUGUUUAGACCUUACUCAGAGUAAUAUUCAAAACACACUUGUUGCUUUUAGCCUAGAAGUGAUAAGAAUCCCUCUGUGAAAUAGGCUCAUGUAUAAACAUCAUUAUUUUAAUAAAGUAAAUCUUUGCAUUCAUUUUGAGCAAAUAUUCUUUUAUUCUUUCCAUACGAGUAAUUAUUUUAGAUUUUUCAUUAUUUUAGGAUUUUCUUCCAAAAAUCAUUCUUUUAUUACAUUCAUAAUCAUACUGUACAAAUAAUUAUUCUUAAAUUCAUUCAUUCUUUGUAUAUUCUUUUGUACCUAUAAUAGGUCCCUAGAUAUCAACGACAUGAGUGACGCUGCUACAGACUUAGAAUUUCCUUUUAAACAAGACAUGUGUUUAGAGGGAUCCCAUGACUUUGAAGAUGACGUAGACUGUGGCUUAUCUCCGGACUUGUUAAGGAUGGUAAAACAAGAGGAGAAGCAAAUCCUACUUCACAAUGAAUCAAUGGAAAUUGUGAGCUUAGAAGGGGAAAAUAGGUGAAGAUUGGGACUGACAUUGCCACAAAUACGAAGUAAGACCUCAUUGAGUUACUCUAAGAAUUCAAAGAUAUUUUUGCAUGGUCAUACUAGGAUACGCUCGGGUUAAGUACUGACAUUGUAGUACACUGCCUUCCUAUAAAAGAAGAUUGCUAGCCAGUUCAGCAGAAACUCCAGAGGAUGAGGCCUGAUAUUGUGCUAAAAAUAAAAGAAGUCAAAAAGUAAUUUGAUGUUGGGUUCUUACAAGUGGUCAAAUAUUCAGAAUGGGUAGCCAACAUCGUCUCAGUUCCUAAAAAAAAUGGGAAAGUACGAAUGUGCAUGGAUUACAGAGACUUGAACAAGGCCAGUCGAAAAGACAAUUCCCUAUUGCCUCACGUUGACACUUUGGUGGAUAAUACAGUAGGCUACUCACUUUUUUCCUUCAUGGAUGGCUUCUCUGGAUACAAUCAGAUAAAGAUGCAUCCAAAAACAUGGGAAAGAUUACAUUCGUGACCCUGUAGGAAACGUUUUACUAUAAAGUGAUGACAUUCAGAUUAAAGAAUAUGGGAGCGACGUAUCAAAGGGUGAUGGUAACCUUGUUUCAUGACAUGAUUUACAAGGAAAUCGAGGUUUAUAUUGACGAUAUGAUUGCAAAAUCUAGAACAGAAGAGGAACAUGUGCAGGUCCUGAGAAAAUUAUUCUUAAGACUGAGAAAGUUCUAGCUCAAGCUUUCCAACGAAAUGCACUUUCGGAGCUAGGUCAGGAAAGCUAUUAGGCUUCAUAGUCAGUGAAAAAGGAAUCGAGAUCAACCCAGACAAAGUCAAGGUAAUAAGAGAUUUACCUCCACUAUGCACUCAGAAGAAAGUUCGAGGUUUCCUAGGAAGACUAAAUUACAUUGCUCGGUUUAUUUCACAACUAACCGAAAAAUGUGACCCCAUAUUUCAUCUUUUAAAGAAACAUAAUCCAGAUGUAUAGGAUGAAGAAUGUCAGGAAGUUUUUGAUAGGAUAAAGCAGUACCUAUCAAAUACUCUAGUGCUGUUACCACCUAGCCCAGAUAGGCCACUGAUAUUGUAUUUAACAGUGUUUGAUAAUUUUAUGGGAUGCAUGCUAGGCCAACAUGAUGAGACAGGAAGGAAAGAAAGGGUUAUAUACUAUCUCAGUAAGAAAUUCACUGAUUAUGAAAUAAGAUACUCGUCUAUUGAGAAAUUAUGUUGUGCCUUGAUCUGGAUAACUCGGAGGCUAAGGCGGUACAUGUUGUACCAUACGACUUGACUAAUUUCAAAGUUAGACCCUUUAAAGUAUAUGAUGGAGUCAACUACUUUGAAUGGGAGGAUGGCCAGAUGGCAGAUUUUACUUUUUGAAUUUGACAUACUUUAUGUGAGCCAGAAGGCUAUAAAAUGGAGUGCAAUAGCGGAUUUUCUAGCUAGCAGAGCCUUGGAGGAUUAUGAGCCUUUAAAUUUUGAUUUUUUGAACGAGGACUUAAUGUAUGUGGCAACCACUAAAGAAAAUGCUCAAGUGGAUCGCAUUUGGAAGCUAAAAUUUGACGGAGCCUCAAAUGCUAUGGGUAAUAAAAUUGAGGCAGUCUUAGUAUCCCCGAGCAGAGAUCAUUAUCCUAUUGCUGGCAAAUUGGAUUUUGAUUGUACAAACAAUAUAGCAGAAAAUGAAGCGUGUAUUAUGGGCAUCCGUAUAGCCAAAGAAUGUAAAAUCAAAGUGCUAAAGGUAUAUGGGGAUUCUGCAUUGGUGAUAUAUCAGCUCAAAGGAGGAUGAGAGAUAAGAGACCUCAAAUUGAUUAAUUAUCGAAAGUUUAUUCUCGAAUUGAUUGAUGAGUUUGAUGAUAUUACUUUCUCCUAUCUCCCACUAGAUGAAAACCAGAUGGCUGACACGUUGGCUACUCUAGCUUUCAUGAUCAAAGUAAACAAACUAGAAGACAUGAAGCCUAUCCAGAUGAGCAUUUAUGAGACUUUGGCUCAUUGCUACAGUAUCGAGGAAGAGGAAAAGGAUGAUCAUCCUUGGUACCAAGAUAUACUGCAAUAUGUAAAGAAUCACGAGUACCCUGAUCAGGCAACGAAGAAUGAUAAGAGGACAUUGAGAAGACUAGCCACUAACUAUGUCUUACAUGGAGAGAUUUUAUACAAAAAGGGAAAGGAUCGGGUACUACUAAGAUGCUGGAUGCUAUAAAAGCUUAGAAAAUCUUGGAGGAAGUCCAUGAAGGUAUCUGCAAAAUGCAUGCCAACGGUUUCACAAUAGUAAGACAGAUUAUGAGAUUCGGGUACUACUGGUCGACCAUGGAAGGAGAUUGCAUCAAUUAUGCCAAGAAGUGCCAUAAAUGUCAAAUUUAUAGAGACAAAAUACACGCACGUUCUUCACCUCUCAACGUUAUGACUUCUCUAUGGCCUUUCUCUAUGUGGGAUAUGGAUGUCAUCGGGCCAAUAUUGCCAAAGGCUUCUAAUAGGUAUCGUUUCAUCUUCAUGGUCAUUGGUUACUUCACUAAAUAGAUGGAAGCUGAUUCAUAUGCUAAUGUCACGAAGUCAGGAGUCAGCAAGUUCUUGAAAAGGGAGAUCAUAUGUUGAUAUAUAAUGCCUGAAAGAAUCAUAUCUGACAAUACAUUGAAUUCGAAAAAUAGCAAAAUAGCGGAGGUCUGCAAUCAAUUCAAGAUCAAACACCAUAAUUCGUCACCAUAUCGCCCAAAAAUGAACGGAGCAGUGGAGGCGGCCAACUAAAAUACCAAGAAAAUUGUGGGGAAAAUGUCUGAGACUUACAAAGAUUGGCAUGAAAAAUUACCAUUUGCCCUCUUUGUUUAUCGAACAUCAAUCAGGACUUUCGUCGGGGCAACGCCUUUCUCUCUAGUUUAUAAGAUGGAGGCAGUUUUACCCAUUAAAGUUGAAAUCCCUUCUCUCUGGGUAUUGGCUGAGCUAAAGUUGGAUGAAGCUGAAUAGAUCCAACCUCGAUAUGAUCAGUUGAACCUAAUAGAAAGAAAAAGGCUAAAAGUUAUUCACCACGGUCAGAUGUACCAAAAACGAAUGAUGCGAGCCUACAACAAAAAAGUUCAUCCCAAAGAAUUCUAUGAGGGGGACCUAGUGUUGAAAAAGAUUUUUCCUCUACAAAAGAAUUUUAGAGGAAAAUGGAUGCCAAAUUAGGAAAGACCUUAUGUUGUAAUAAAGGCCUUUUCUGGAGGAGCAUUGAUUUUGAGUGAGAUGGAUGGUAAAAAUUUUCCUAAUCUUGUAAACUCAGAUUCAUUCAAGAAAUACUUCACCUAAAGAAGGAGAAGGGACCAAUGUGAAAACCUGCAAAGGGCACUUUGAGUCUUAAAAAAAAGAGACCAAGGUGAAAACCGCAAAUGGUGUCUUAAGUCCUAAAAAAAAGAGGCCAAGGUGAAAACUAGCAAAGGGCGCCUUGAGACCAAAGGGGAUUUGAGUUGAAAACCCGAAAAGAGCGACUCAAAUAUUGAUUAAAAUGGGGCAUGCAGUGAUCUUGCUAUACUUGAAUUAAUAGGAAAGGGGUAUACGACAUCUUGGGGCAUCGACAAAGUACUAUAGAUCUCCUAAACACAUUUCAAACUCAAAAUGGUCUUUAGGAAGUUUGUACAGAGAAAUUCAAGCUGCGAUGUCUAGGGCACCUAGUCUUCAUACUAUUUAUAUUAAAUUUGCUAUUCUUGGAAUACUUUAUUCUUUUCAAGAUACGUGUUCCCAAUCAAUUCCCUUUUUAUUCUUCUUUAUCCUUGAUAAUUUAUUCAUUUCGAGCUAUGCUCCAAAUCAAUUCUAUUCUUAUCCAUUGUUAUUAUCUUUUGCAAGCAUGUUGUAUUGGAAUAAUGAUUAAUAGACUAAUAAUACUUUUACAAAUAAAGUGCUGUAUAUUACUCUAAAAGUUUCUAAAUAAUACAAGAACCUAAAACAGGACUAUUGUUUAGAACGCACCGGGUUUAAAGGUUAGAAAUAUCUGAGAAGGAAGAGUCCAAAUUAAGACUAUCCCUUCGAAUUUUGUUGUCAAAAUAUUGAUUGAACAAAACGACAAGAUAUCGUAUUGGUGAACAAACGAGCAAUGAUCACCAGGUAAUAAAAAGAGGUUAUUUUGGAAAAAAAAUUACAUUGGUACGACACCUUAGGAAUGGUGUAAGAGACCAAAGAGGUUCACAUCUUGUAUUCUUGAAUUGCAAUAGGAGAGGAUUGAGAAAGAGCUAGAUAUUAUACUCCUGAAUUAUAAUGGAAGGGAAAUGGUACAAAUUUUAUGUACCAAAAGUACAGUGGAUUGAACCUUGAAGAUUACAGUAGGGGAAAUCUGAUUAAGUAAAAUAUGAAGUGUUUCUUUGGAGAUACCAGUCGAACAAGAUGGCAUUAUGACGUGUCGGUGAUAGAGCCUUAAUGAAUAAUGAGCAAUAACAACUCAAGCAUUAAGGGAUCAUUUUCAUAACAUUCUGUAUUCAUUCAUACACAUCUAGUUAGGAGAUUUUGAUUCAUUCCGAUCAUAACAUCCAAAUCACUAGACAUAAAUAGGCCCAUGAAAUGGAUUCUACAGGUCAUGUUCCCCAUAGAACAGAUGGGUGAAACCACAAAUCCUAUACCGCUGAAGUUGCAGUGGGAUGGAUUGAAGUCAUUAUGGCGAGUCUUAUCUCCCUGAAGUUGCAAUGGAGCAUAUUAAAGCUAGUAAUCUUAUCUCCCUGAAGUUGCAGUAGAGCGGAUUGAAGUUACAAGUCUUAUCCCCCUAAAGUUACAGUGGAGCAGACUGAAGAUAGUGAAUCUUAUUUCCCUGAAGCUGCAGUGGAACAAAUUGAAGCUAUAAAUUGUAGAUUUUAUCUCUCUAAAGUUGCAAUAGAGAAGAUCAUAUCAAACUUUAUCUCCCUGAAGUUGUAGUGGAACAGGUUGAAAAUACCAAUCUUAUCUCCCUGAAGUUACAGUGGAGUAGACUGAAGAUAGCGAAUCUUAUUUCUCUGAAGUUGCAGUGGAACGGAUUGAAGCUAUAAAUUACAGAUCUUAUCUCUCAGAAGUUGCAGUAAAGCAGAUCAUAGAAAACCUUAUCUCCCUGAACUUGCAGUGGAGUAGGUUGAAGUUAUAAGUCUUAUCUCCCUAAAGUUGCAGUGGAGCAGACUGAAGAUAGCGAAUCUUAUUNNNNNNNNNNNNNNNNNNNNNNNNNNNNNNNNNNNNNNNNNNNNNNNNNNNNNNNNNNNNNNNNNNNNNNNNNNNNNNNNNNNNNNNNNNNNNNNNNNNNNNNNNNNNNNNNNNNNNNNNNNNNNNNNNNNNNNNNNNNNNNNNNNNNNNNNNNNNNNNNNNNNNNNNNNNNNNNNNNNNNNNNNNNNNNNNNNNNNNNNNNNNNNNNNNNNNNNNNNNNNNNNNNNNNNNNNNNNNNNNNNNNNNNNNNNNNNNNNNNNNNNNNNNNNNNNNNNNNNNNNNNNNNNNNNNNNNNNNNNNNNNNNNNNNNNNNNNNNNNNNNNNNNNNNNNNNNNNNNNNNNNNNNNNNNNNNNNNNNNNNNNNNNNNNNNNNNNNNNNNNNNNNNNNNNNNNNNNNNNNNNNNNNNNNNNNNNNNNNNNNNNNNNNNNNNNNNNNNNNNNNNNNNNNNNNNNNNNNNNNNNNNNNNNNNNNNNNNNNNNNNNNNNNNNNNNNNNNNNNNUCAAAGGAACAAAAUAUCACCUACAUCAUAAGGCACGAUCGCCAGAACUUUACUUUCUAGCCUGUCGAUCCGAUCCAAUCCAAUGAAAGAACACAAGGAGUCUUAAGAUCUGUCAACUUUAUUUCAUUUUCAUUUCUUUGUCAUUUUCUAUGUUUCAUGUCGAAUACAAUAAAGAGAACAUAGAAAAAUGUGGCCUAUUUAUUUCCCAAUCAUCAUGAAAUUACUUGCCAUUGACUUAGAUUUUCUCACCAAUUUCAAGCAAUCUGACAUGAUUUCUCAUCACAAUUAAUUGAAUUCAAGAUCUUUUUAGAUGACACAAACAUUUCAUUUUAACACAAACCAAUAUUUCGGUUAUACUUCAGUGCUUGACAAGCACUUUCACAUUUGUGGAUAAGAACUCUUAACAUUUUAGGAUCACAUUUAAUUCAAUUGCAUUUAAGACCUCAUGGUUUUAUUCUAUAAUUUCAGUCUUAUCAGCCUUUUCGGAAACAAUAAAACGUCGACAUUAAAUUUGUUGUUGAUGCAUUCAAUUUUUUGGGUCUUUGGAGUUAUGUGACUUUAGCAUUGACUGACUUUUUUAUAAUUUAAUAAUAAGGUAAAUAUAUUAAUUUUAAUAACAUCGACAUGUUUUUUAGUAGGGUCGAGCAAAACCCAAUUAAAAUCGAUGAUAUUGGCUUAGUUGACUCGGUCAAGUCCAUUAGAUUGAUAAAAUCAUUUUUAAAAUCAGUUAUAAUGGAUAAAGGUAAUUAAUUAUCGAGUAAUGAAAUACAUAAUCAAAUCAAUUGAUUUUGUUAGAAACUAAAAGAAAAAGGGCUAAGCUGAAAAUUGAUUGCCCUUUAUUAAAAUUAACGAAUCUGUCUUUUACGUAUUAGAUAAUAUGAACAUCGCAUAUAUAAUAAGAAAAUUACGUAUGAUUAUUUAUUAUCAUAAAAGGUUAGUUUAAAUUUAAAGUAAUCUAAUAUGUUUAUUGAACUUCAACUAUUAAAUAAAGUAUAAGCUAAAUAAGUAUAAAUAUUCUAGAAACCAUUUCUAACUGAUGAUAGGCUAAUUCGAUUAAUUUAUAAAAACUAGAUAGUAGGGUUAUAGUCCUCAAACUACACCUAAUUUAAUAACAUUUAUAUUUUUUUUAGCCUUAAACAUUUAUAGUUUUGUUAAUUUGGUCCUUACUCUUUAAAAUUACAUAAAAAAUUGCAAAAAAAUUAAAAAUUAAUUUUUAUCAUGAUUUAAUAACAUUUAUAUUUUUUUUUGUGGUUUGGUAACUUAUCAACUUGACUCUUACUUGUAACCAACUUUUCUAACCUUUUUCGUACCCUUAACCUAAGUCCCGUUACAAUUUCUAAAGACCUCUUGAUUGGUGUAUCAUCUCGAUUUGUUUUUAUAGUGGUGGAGAUUUGUUUUUUGUAGUGGGCAUGAUUGCCAGAACUUUACUUUCUAUCCUGUCGAUCCGAUCCAAUGAAAGAAUAACAAAGAGGUCUUAAGAUCUGUCAACUUUAUUUCAUUUUCAUUUUCUUUGUCAUUUUCUAUGUUUCUUGUCACAUACAAUGAAAGAAGAACAUAGAAAAAUGUUGCCUAUUUAUUUCCCAAUCAUCAUUCUAACAGGCCGAAUUAGCCCAGGCCCAAACAUUAAUAAAUGUCCAGAUUACAAAAUAACCAACCAAAAAUUAAAAGCCCAAAUAAUAAAAUAAAACCCAUUACAUUAACCCAAAACUCCAGCCCAAUUACAUUGAAGCCAAAAAAAUAGUUUUUAGAAACCCCUAGGGUUUCUGGAACAAUCCGCGCCGCUCCUCCAUCCGCUUCUCCACGCACGCUGCACCUUUCCACGUGCGCCUCCAGCUGGCAGUGUACCUCCAAUGCAACAAACAAAGCAACAAGCAGCAAAAGAAAUGGAAAAACAACAAAAAAAAAAGAAGGAGCAACAAUGUAUAACAGAUUGAUAACAAAUAAUAGAAAAAAUAGCAGUAAAUAGGAAAAAAAAUUAAAAAAUAAUGAGGGUAAUUUCAUUUUUUUCUCUGUUUUGGCUAUAAAGAGAGCCGGUCAAAAUCUCUAAAGGGGGAUUUAGAAUCAAUCAGAAAACAAGUAUUUUGUACCAACAAUUAGAGAAAAAAAAUACAAAAAUAGGGAUUGAAGGUUUUUUUUUUCUUUCGUUUCGAUUUAUUUAAAAUAGCAUAGAAAAUAAAAAGAAGGCUUACCUUGCGACGCCUUCAGAUCCUCUCGAAAAGGGGCUAAAAGGCCCUAUGUGGCACAGAUUUGACCACUGUUCACGGUGGAACCGCAGCGGAGGCGCAGAGGAUUGGCAUCAAUUUAGGCAGGGUUUGAAACCCUAGCAGAGAAAAAAUUAGGGUUGAUAGAUUUUUUUUAAAAAAAUGGCAAAAUGUUGUUUUUAAAAAAUUUUGUUUUAAAAAAAUUGUUGCUUUUAUAAAGGGUGUAAAACGGCGUCGUUUAGGGCAUGUUUCGAUGGCCCCAAAACGGCGCCUUAUAAGGCAACCCCCGACGACCCGACCUGCUCCAUGGGGGAUCCGCGUGGUUUUUGUUAAAUGGGUUAUGUCUAACCCUGGCCCUUCUACUUUUUAUACUUGUUUUAAUUUGAUCCUCUUUUUAUUUAUUUUUAUUUCUUUAAAUUAAGCCUGAUAAUUUUUUUCCAUUACAUUUUAAUCCUUAAUGAAACGGCGCGUUUUAGAGGAGAAGGGAAAAUUACCCUUCUAGUCCCUUCUUGUUAUUCGAGUGUUCAGAAGGGUCCUUUUUUGUUUAUUUUUUAUUUGCCCCAAAAUUUUGUUUUAAAGCUUAAUUUAGUCCUAUUUUGUUAUUUUAGCUAUUUUAUUAUUAGAUUAAUUAAUUUAAUAUUAUUAUUACUGCUAUUAUUUUACCCCUAUUAGUUAUAUAUUUAUUAUUAUAACUAUAUCAUUAAAUCAAUUAGUUUUUACAUUAUUAUUUCCAUUCUGUUUUUUAUUUACUUACUUAAAUACUUUAAAUGCAUUUAUUUUAUUUCUUAUUUUUUUAUGAAAUUUCAAAACUUUAGACUAUUUUUUUGUUACUAUAACCCUAAUUUCAUUCAUUUUAUAAUAGUUUUUUUUUAAAAUAUUUCUUAGAUUAAUUCCCUCGAUGUUAUUUUGUAUAUUUAUUUAUCUUUUUAAAUUUUCGAUAUUGUCUUAUUGUAUUAUUGUUGUUACUAUCAUUAUUCAUUAUUAUUGUUGAUUUUAUUCUUCUUUGAUUAAUGUUUAUGUUAGAGUAAUAGGUGUUAUGUGAUCAUUGUUAUUAUAUGUUAUAAUUUGUUGACACUCGUAUUGUAGUCAUUCGUCAGCUUAAUAUUUGAGUAACAUUUUAAAUAUUACAUUAAUUUUGACCCAAAUGCAUAAUUUUUUAAUAAGUAAUAUUUCGUAUUGUGGAAUUUGAGAGAUCAUUCCCUAACUUACGGGGUCUCGAUUUUUUUGAUAAAUCUGAAUAUAAGAACUAUUUUAAAAAAAUACGUUUUAAAAUUAUCUCGGGAAUUUAAAAAGAAGCGUGUUCUAACUUACGGAAUAUGAUCUUUUUUAAAAAUCGAGAUAAUCAAAUAUCUUUCAAAUAAAUAAACUUUUCGUGUUUAUUCUCGUUUUAGGAUUUAAGAUAUUGUGUCCUAACUCACGGGACACAAUUCUUUUUCUCGAUUAACGUGAAAUACGCCCUUUUUAAUUUUAUCUUUUUAAGUGAUUUUAACAAAAGGAUUGUAUUUUAAAUCUCUUCAAAAUUUUCAAUUUUUCGACAUUGAGACAUUAACUAAUCAAUUAGGUACCAAUUUUGGGCGUUACAAGGGUGUUAACCCUUCCUUGUACAUAACCGACUCCCGAACCUAUUUUUCUGAAUAUUAUAGGCCAAAAUUGUUUUAAUAAAUUAAACCCUUAAGAGGUGACUCGAUCACAGCUCAUAAAAAUUAUCGGUGGCGACCCUUGUUUUAAAAAAGGUGGUUUCAACAGCUUGGCGACUCCGCUGGGGACAAAAAUAAGAGUCAAGCCGCGAGUUGAUUAUUUCUUAUCUUUUUGUCAGAAAUUGUGAAUUCGAUUUAAAUUUAUGAUCUUUUCAUUGCAUUUUAUGGUCUGCAUCAUUUUUAUAUGCUUGCUUUACUACUUCGAGUCUUUUAAUCUUCGCAUAUUGUAUUGCAUAACCGUUCGGUUAUACCCUUUUAAGCGGGAGUGAGAAAUUAUUCUUUCGUGAGGUUUUCACCUUCGUAUAGGAUAGUGGAUUACUUUCAGGAUACAUCCAUACCUAUGUCUUCGUGAGAUUCUCAUCUCCGUAUAGUCAUAGGGAAAUGUAUUCCCCUGAACUGAACUCAGUCCGUAUGAGCCUAUAAUGGGUGAGGAUUGAGGAAUCUGCUGGUUCAGGUACCCUUUCUUUAGAACUAAACCGCAUGUAGUGAGCCCUAAGAGCAUACCCUAGGUAGAACCACUCCAAACCCCUAGUGGUCACCCAAAUAGGUGCUCUAUUUAUUUUUGCUUGCUUGUUUUUGCCUUGUACUAACCUAUUUGUUAUGGUUAUGAGUGCAUUGCAUUUUUAUCAUAAAAAAGAUGUGUUGAUUCACGUUCAGUUGCUAAAUAGAGAGCUUGUCAUGGAAAACGAAUUUCUUGAUAAAGUGGAAGACAAUGCGGUUGUCCGGAUAUGGUCCAAGAAAAUGUGAAGAAAGAAGGGUGAUAGUCUAAUGGAGGACUACACGACCUUGCUUCGUUGCCUGAUGAUUCAAGUUGACAAAGAUUAUUCGAGAGUCUUCAAUGUCCCGACCUUUUUAAAGAAGCUAACGAGCGUCACGAGGAUGAGCGAGUAAUGAGUUGCGGCCCGGAUCAAGCAAAAAAAAGAUAGAGGAGACACCCUUUUUGAAGAGUUCACGAGAUUUAUCUUAACAUCUAGACGAAGAAAAAGAUCAAUCUCUUUGCCUAGAGUAUGAGGGCAAAGCCGUAUAUAUAUCCGCUUUAUGUAAAUAAAUUUGUUUUCUAGUAAAGUUUUUCUAAUAGAAUUGAAUCAGAAUCAACGUCUCUUUUUGCAUUCAUUCCAUUCAUCUGCAUUGCAUUUCAUUGCAUCUAGAAUUUCACAAAAGGACCCUAAUUAAUCGAAAUUGUUAUAGCUACCUUGAAAAACUAACGAAAAUUUACCAAUUAAAUAUUCCUAUGGUACCCAUUGCAAAACUAAAGUAAUGGAUCAAAUAUUAGAAAGAUUAGAACAAAUGCUGAAGGAUAAACAUAACUGCUUUGGCUUAGGGUACAAGCCAGAUACAAGACAAAGAAGAAAUAGGAAAGGAGAACACGUUUGAGCGGGGAUGAGGUCAAAUGGGAGGGAUUAUUCAUCCCAGGCGAAGAAUGCCAAGAGAAGAAAAUAUUGAAAACAUGUUGGGAAACGUUCACAUCAAUGCCAUAUACGAAGAAGCAAUUGAAGGAGUGACCUUGUUAGAUAUCCGCCCUUAUGAACCUAAGAGUGUGCUAAACAAUUGGACUGCAGAAGAAAUUCUUGUAGUGUUUAGAGCUUACUCAUAGUAAUGUUCAGAACACACUUGUUGCUUUUAGCCUAGAAGUGAUAAGAAUCCCUCUGUGAAAUAGGCUCAUGUAUAAAAAUCAUUAUUUUAAUGAAGUACAUCUUUGCAUUCAUUUUGAGCAAAUAUUCUUUUAUUCUUUUCAUACGAGUAAUUAUUUUGGAUUCUUUAAUUCUUUUGGGAUUUUCUUCCAAAAUCAUUCUUUUAUUACAUCCAUAAUCAUACUGUACAAAUAAUGUAAUAGCCUGAAUUUUCAGUGGUGUCGGAAUGGUGAUUCAAGAUCACUAAGUCUGACAAAUGAGUAGAAAAUAUUAUUAAUUUAGUAAGAAUAAGUAAAUGUGAAGUUAGGAAAAUUUUUGAAAUAGUGAAUAGUGUACUAGGAAUAAAUAUUAAAAUAAUUAAAAUAAAAAAUGAGGUAUCGAGACCUCGAAGAUUUUAAACCAAGCCAUAAGUACUUUUAGAAGUAUUUUUAGAGUGUCAUUGAGUUGGUAUUAAAGUUUCGUUAGAAAAUUUUAACGCUCGGAUAGUUAAUUAACCAAAAAGGACUAAAUUGAAAAUAGUGUAAAAUUUGUUAAAUUGUGAUUAAAUAGCUUAAGUGAUUAAAAAGGAGGGAUUUAAAAGGCAAUUAGGCCCAAAUUAUAUGGGCUGGACGGUUGGGUAAGAAAAAUCAGCAGAAUGUAAGGAGAAAACAGGGGCAAAAUUGGAAACUUAACAAAUUAAACAUAUAAAACAAAGACAAAAGUGAAAAAUCUAGAGAUCUGUUCACAAUUUAUCAGCAAAAAUGCCAUAGGAGGUCUGAAAGAAGCUGGUUUUUCAUAUAUUUGAAUCAUGUAAGUUUAAUUCUUGAUUAUUUCUUCUAAUUUUUGUGAUUUUGAUACUUUUACAAUUAGGUCCAACUAAUUAUUUCAUUAGUUUUUGAUUUCAUGGCUGAUUUUGAAAGUUACCAUUGAUGAGUGUUGGAUUUUUAUGAUGAAUAAACAUGGAAUUAAAGCUUUAAUUUUGUUAUAUGAUGAUUUUAUUAAGUAAUUUUGAUAGAAAUUGAUUUUUGGGACCUAAUUGUGAAAAAGUUUGGAAUUAGGGUUUGGUGUUGCGGUUUUGAAUAUGAAAGGCUAUGUAGUAGUCUAAAAUAGUUGGAAAAGGUGUUAAUUGAGAAAAAUUAGAUCAAUUGAGGGGUUAAUUGAGUAGGACCAAAUUGUAAAAACUGUAAAGUUUGAGGUAAAAGUGUAAUUUCGAAAAUUUAAGGGCAUAAAUUGUGAAGUGAAUUAGAAUAGAAUUAUAUGCUGAUGAAUGAAUAAAUUUGUAUUUUAGAUCGAGAACCCGAAGCAAGCCGAGGAAAAGAAAAAGUAGUUGAUUAGUCCCUGAACUUUUACAAAUUCUGCAAAUCGACCCAGGUAAGUUCAUAUGGCUGAAAUUUAAUGAUUAAAUGUUAAUUUCAUGAAUUAUGUAAUGUAUGAUGAAAUGUAUUUAGUGUUGAAAUGAGAGUAAAAUAAAAAUGCGAAAAUCGAAUAAAUGAUCAAAUUAAGCGGAACGCCGGAUUUGAGUACUUCUGAUCAAGAGACAAAGUGAUAAGUGGUAGCUUUAGCUACACUUAUCUGAUCAAGUGAAAAAGUGAUAAGUGCUACACUUAUCUGAUCAAGAGACAAAGUGAUAAGUGGUAGCUUUAGCUCACUUAUCUGAUCAAGUGAAAAAGUGAUAAGUGCUAUACUUAUCUGAUCAAGUGACAAAGUGAUAAGUGGUAGCUUAGCUACACUUAUCUGAUCAGGGCCAAAUGAUAAGUGAUCAUACGUAAGACCAUAGUUAUACUAUGGCCAAGUGAAAGUGAAGUACUCAAUUUUCCGUAACCGUUCCUUAAUUUUGAUCAAGGAUGGUAAGUGACAAAUAGGCCCAAAGAAAUUAUGGUAAAAGAAUAAGUAGUAGUGAGUUUAUACCAAGGAACUCUCCAAAGAUUGUGGUUGACAAGUAAACUUAGUAAUGGUGUAUAUUGUAUAAGUGUACAAAUGUUUGGUAAGAUUUAUGUUUGUGCCUAUGAACUUACUAAGCUUUUCUAUAAGCUUACAUGUGUGUGUUUAUUGUUUUUCUAGAUUAACGUAUUUAUACAUUCGGAGGAUCGGAUCUACUUCGAGAAUCACACUAUCCAGAUAUACUCCGGUAGAUUUUGUUAAACAACUUUUUGGAUUUAUAUGGCAUGUACAGAGAAUUGAAGUAAAAAGUAAUAGAAUGAAUGACUGAGUAUGCAAAGUAAAUUUGAAUGUGAUGGUUGUGUUAGAUAUUGAAAAAUACAUGUUUUUAGUUUGAAAUGGUUGAUUGGCUGAACUUCGUUAGUAUUCAAGUGAAGUAGUUGAAAUACUGGAAUUGGUUGUGAUUUGAAAUUUGCAGGGAAGGUUAGAUAAAUAUAAAGGGGUUAUAUUGAUUUUUUUUUUAAAUUUCAAUGGAAUAAUUUUUGGACAGCAGCAUUGAUGUAACUUUUAAAAAUCACCAAAAAUAGUGGAAAUAGAAUUAGAAGUUGAAUGAGAUAUGAAAUUAAAUCUGAAUGAGUCUAAUUUCACAUGAAAGAAGUAGAAUAAGAAAAAGAGUUAUAUAUUUUUAGAUAUUUGAAUUUUAGUGAAACAGGGCAAGAAUGUUUUUGAAGUCCCCUGUUCUGACUUUAGAAAUUUAGUAAAAAUUGUACAAAAGGAAUUAUGAAUUAUAAUUUAUAUGUUUAAAUUCCGUAAUGAGUAUAUUUUAAGUAGAAAUAAUUGGAACCACCAUAUGAAGUCUUUGCAAUGAGAUAAUUGAAUUUUAGUGACAAGAGGUCAGGAUAGUCAAUUAGUGAAAUAGGGGAGACUUCAACUAAUAAACUGUAUUAAUUUGCUAAACCAAAAAUUCUGAAAAAUUUAUGGUGAAUAUACAUAUGAGUCUAGUUUGAGGGAAAAUUUACGGAUCUAAAUUUUUAGUUUCGUAUCUUGAGUUAUAAUUAUUUUAGUGACUACUGCGCAUGUGGACAGCUUUGUUGUGAAUGGUGAAAUUAAUUUUUAAAGUAAAUUUUUAUGCCCCGAACUUUUAAGUUCAGUCAAGUAACGCCUUAUGCUCGACUCCGGCAACCGUCUUGGGUAAGGGGUGUUAUAAAUAAUUAUUCUUAAAUUCAUACAUUCUUUGUAUAUUAUUUUGUACCUACAAUAGGUCCCUAGAUAUUAACAACAUGAGUGACGUUGCUACAGACUCAGAAUUUCCUUUUAAACAAGACAUGUGUUUAGAGGGAUCCCAUGGCUUUGAAGAUGACGUAGACUGUGGCUUAUCUCUGAAUUUGUUAAGGAUGGUAAAACAAGAGGAGAAGCAAAUCCUACCUCACAAGGAAUCAAUGGAAAUUGUGAGCUUAGAAGGGGGAAAAGAGGUGAAGAUUGAGACUAACAUUGCCACAAAGACAAAGCAUGACCUCGUUGAGUUACUCCAAGAAUUUAAAGAUGUCUUCGCAUGGUCAUACCAGGAUACUCCCGGGUUAAGUACUGGCAUUGUAGUACACUACCUUCUUAUAAAAGAAGAUUGCAAGCCAGUUUAGCAGAAACUCUGAAGGAUGAGGCCUGAUAUUGUGCUAAAAAUAAAAGAAGAAGUUAAAAAGCAAUUUGAUGUUGGGUUCUUACAAGUGGUUAAAUAUUCAGAAUGAGUAGCCAACAUCGUCUCAGUCUCUAAAAAAGAUGGGAAAGUACGAAUGUGCAUAGAUUACAGAGACAUGAACAAGGCCAGCCAAAAAGAAAAUUUCCCAUUGCCUCACAUUGACACUUUGGUGGAUAAUACAGUAGGCUACUCACUGUUUUCCUUCAUGGACGACUUCUCUGGAUACAACCAGAUAAAGAUGCAUCCCAAAAACAUGGGAAAGACUACAUUCGUGACCCUAUGGGGAAUGUUUUGCUAUAAAAUGAUGUCAUUCGGAUUAAAGAAUGUGGGAGCGACGUAUCAAAGGGAAUGGUAACCUUGUUUCAUGACAUGAUGUACAAGUAAAUCGAGGUUUAUGUUGACGAUAUGAUUGCAAAAUCCAGAACAGAAGAGGAACAUGUGUAGGCCCUAAGAAAAUUAUUCUUAAGACUGAGAAAGUUCCAGCUCAAGCUUUCCAACGAAAUGCACAUUCAGAGCUAGGUUAGGAAAGCUGUUAGGCUUCACAGUUAGUGAAAAAGGAAUCGAGAUCAACCCAGAUAAAGUCAAUGCGAUACGAGAUUUACCUCUACCAUGCACUCAGAAGGAAGCUCGAGGUUUCCUAGGAAGACUGAAUUACAUUGCUCGAUACAUUUCACAACUAACCGAAAAAUGUGACACCAUAUUAAAAUAAAAAUAGAUUAAAUUGUAAGUAAAACAUAAUUUAAACAUAUGAAUACAUCAAAUUAAUAAUACUAAAUGAAUACAGUUAUUUAUGAUGAUGUUGUUGCCAAUUCCUAAUUUGGUGUCUAGUUAAUUUGUGACAUCAUAAAUUUAAGUGAUAAAUUUAAGGUUUUAUGUAUUGAUGUGGAUUCAAAUAUCACCAUAAUUUUUGUAAAUAAAAAACUAAUAAGAUAACUUAUAUUAAGUACGAAAGGGUAUUUUUAUAAUUUCUCUAAUCGAGUUGGUGCCCGGUUGACUCAUGACACUAACUCAAUCAGAAGCUUUAAUAAUAAUAUAGAUAUUCAUGUUAAAAAAACAAAAAAAAAGUACUUUAGUUCCAAAUAAUUAUAUAACAAGUAAAUUUAUAAUUGAUGAAUAAAUUUAUAAAUAAUAUAUUUAUAUGAUCUAAUAUAUUAUAUUUAUAUUAAUUAUAUAUCAUCUACAAACUUUGAAGAUCAAUUUAUUAAGUAAAAAUGAAAUUGUUAACACUAAAUCAAUUUUUAGAUUUUGUAUAGAUGAUUUAGUGAUGAUAAAAACAUUAUUAACACUAUUUUUUAAUUAACAAAAAAUUAGUGAUAUAUUUAAAUUAUAUUUAUCAUUUAUUAUUUUUAAUAAUAUUUUUUAAUUAUAUGAAGUAAAAUUAUAUUGUAUACUAAAUAUGGUACAUAUACUCUAAUUAUAACUUGAAAUUUUAUUAUAUAAAUUAAUAUAAAUUUGAAUAACAAAAUAAAAAAAAACUAAUUAGAAUAAUUUUAAAAAACAUUAUUUAAAAGUAGUUAAAAAUCACGUGCAACAGGUGAGAUCAAUGGUCUUUAGAGAAGAAAUGUUGAAGAUCAAAGUUGGAAUCUGGCCUAUAAGGCCUUUAAUUGCUUUAAUAUUAAGCAGUUCCAAACCAAGAAGAUUACCGAUUUCCUCAGGAAUUUGACCUGCACACAUGGUCGAAAAAUCAAUGUGUCAAACUACCUAUUUUGUUAGCAUAAGUCAAAGAGGUUUUCUUUUCUAUUCUACAUAAUUUGCAGAUGUUAGAUUUUAAUAUUUUUAAGCAUAUUUGUUUUCAUCAAAUUAACUAUUUUGAACUAUUUUGCCUUGAAUGAAAUAAAAUGCUCUUACUUUUGUUAUCUAUUACUAAUCAAACUCUUUUAUAAAAAAAAUACUUUAAACUAAAGAAACCAAGAAAAUUCAAUACCUUCUAGGUUAUUCAACCCCAAAUAUAAUUCUUUGAGUCGUGUCGGAUUUCCAAUACUUCUUGGAAUGAUCCCCAUCAAUUGAUUAUAGGAAAAUGACAAAAUUUUAAGGUUGUUGCAUUUGCUUAUACUUGACGGAAUGUUACCAUAUAAUUCAUUCCGACUCAAGUAAAGCCCUUCAAGCUUGGAAAGAUGUGACACAUAUCAUUAGGCAAGCUACCUGAUAGGCUAUUGUUGGAGAGAUCAAUGGCCUUCAGAGAAGAAAUGUUGAAGAUCGAAGUUGGAAUCUGACCUGUAAGGCCUUUAAUUGCUUUAAUAUUAAGCAGUUCCAAACCAAGAAGAUUACCGAUUUCCUCAAGAAUUUGACCUGCACACAUGGUCGAAAAAUCAAUGUGUCAAACUACCUAUUUUGUUAGCAUAAGUCAAAGAGGUUUUCUUUUCUGUUCUAUAGUAAUUUGGUGAUGUUAGAUUUUAAUAUAAUUCAGCACAUGUUUUUCAUCAAAUGAAAUAAAAAGUUUUUCCUUUUGUUAUCUAUUACAAAUCAAGCUCUUUUAUUAAAAAAAUACUUUAAAUUCAAGAAAUCAAGGAAAUUAAUUACCUUCUAAAUUAUUAAACCCCAAAUAUAAUUCCUGGAGUCGUGUUAGAUUUCCAAUACUUCUUGGAAUGAUCCCCAUAAAUUGAUUAUGGGGCAACAACAAAUUUUUAAGGAUGUUUCAUUUGCCUAUGCUUGACGGAAUGUUACCAGAUAACUCAUUGCUAUGCAAGUGAAGCCCUUCAAGCUCGGGAAGAUGUUGACACAUAUCAUUAGGCAAACUACCUAAUAGGCUAUUCCUGGAGAGAGCAAUAGUCUUGAGAGAAAAAUGUUGAAGAUCGAAGUCGGAAUCUGAUCUGUAAGGCCUUUAAUUGCUUGAAUAUUAAGCAUUUCCAAACUAAAAAGAUUACCGAUUUCUUCAGGAAUUUGACCUGCAGACAUAGUCGAAACAUCAAGGUGUUAAAUUUCCUAUUUUGUUAGUGUAAAUCAAAGAGGCUUUUUAUUUUUUUUCGUUAUGAAAUAAUAUGGAUAUGUUCGAUUCUAAUCAUAUUUAAGUAUAUAUUAGUUCUUGAAAGAAUGAGUUCUUAUUUUUGGUAUUUAUAUUGCAAAUAUAUAUUUUUUUAAAUUUAAAAGAAGGGAGGGGGCAAAUGUGUUUAAACUAAAGACAUCAAGGAAAAGGCAUACCAAGUAUAAUUGUUUAAGUUGUGUCAAAUUCCCAAUGCUUUUUGGAAUGAUCCCACUAAAUUGAUUAAUAGACAAUUCCAAAAUUUGAAGGUUGCAGCAUUUGUCUAUACUUGAUGGAAUAGAACUUGAUAAUUCAUUUCUACUCAAGUAAAGCUCUUUCAGCUUGGGAAGAUGGACACACAAAUCAUCGGGCAAGCCACCAGAAAGACUAUUAUCACAAAAAUGAAUCCUUUUCAAAGAAGAAAUGUUAAAGAUGGAAGAUGGAACCUGGCCAGAUAAUUGAUUGAAUCCCAAGUUCAAGAUCUCUAGAUUGGACAAGUUGACAAGUGUUUGAGGGAUCGUGCCUGUGAAGUUAUUAUUUCUCAUUUCCAACCUUUGAACUCUGUGCAAGUUCCCAAGCCAUGGUGGAAUUUCCCCAUUAAGACGGUUGUAGCUUAAUCGAAUGAUCCUCAAACGAUGCAAUUGGCCUAAUUCUUUAGCCAGAUGGCCGUAGAAAUUGUUGUUGCUCAAGUCGAUAGAAAAUAGAAAUGAAAGAUUUCCAAGGUGUGGAGGGAUAGUACCCCUAAGAUUCAUGUUUGUAAGAUUAAUCAAAGCUACAACUCUUUCAUGGAUGAUGCCACAAGAAACACCAACCCACUUACAGACAGAGGUAGAGUUCGUCCAAUUGUUUGCCAACACAUUUUGAGGAUCGACAAUGCGAUCUUUAAACUCAAAGAGUGCAAACUGAUCGGAGUUGAGAUUCCGGACUGUCAUAGCCAAGGAAACAAUAGAACAUUGUAUGAAUAAAAGUGAAAGAAGAUGAAAGCAAGUGUUGUAGUUCAUGAUGGCAAGACGAAAUAAGCCAGGAAAAGGGAAGUUGAAUUGAUGAAGAAAUAGCCAGCCAACAUGCUUAAAUAGGCUUCAACCCUUGCACACUUCUCAUACAUAAAGUUCGCUGCCAUUACAACAAGAAAACUCAUAUCUCCAUUCGUACCUAUCCAUACUUUAUUUGACUAACUUUUCCCUAACAAGUGUUCAGUAAGGAGAUAAAUCAGUUUGGAGCUAUUCACCGGCUUCUCCAAUCUUGGUUUCAAACUCCUAACCCAUCAAUUCACUUUAAUUGAAACGAUAUACACGAGUCUUUCGGCUUAUAUUUUUAAUUUAAUUUUUGUUACUUUUCAUAAUAUUUUUUGAGAAAUCCAAAUAUUCCAGUCUGAAAUUUCUUCAUUGCCACGUCUAUCUCCUGGGUAAGUCCGUGGUUAGGCAGCCCACUUUGGGAGCAGGAUUGUAAUUGUAAUUCUAUCCGACUCAUUUUACUAUUUAGAAAUAUAAAAGUAAUAUUAUAUUAUUUUUUAUAUUUUUAUAAAUUUAAUUUUAAUUAUAAUUUUUAAACAAUAAAACGAGUCAUUUGUAUUUGCCUAGUCUAAAUUGAAUCAGGAGUCAAAAAAAUUUUAAUCAUAAUUUACUAUUAUUUUAAUUAAUUAAAAUUUAACCUACUACAACUAGUAGUUGCAGAAAAAAUGUCAUUCCUUUAGAAAAACGAAAAUCCUUUAGAAAAAUGAGAACUUAUGAAGCAUUCAAUAAGAGUCAUUGGAAUAAAUGGUAACGAAAUCAUAAUUCAAUAUAAAGCUAAAAAAUGUACCAAUCUAUAUAAAUAAUGUAAGAUUUGUGAUACCUAAAUUAUUAUAUUUUCCAUAAAUAUAUGAAGAUAUUUUAUUAGGAAAUAAUUUUAUAUAUAAAAUUUUUUAUUUUCUUUUGAUAGAAAUUUAAUUAUGUUAUCUGUAGAAAAAAAUAUUUAUAGAAAUAUUAUUAGUAGAAAAUCAUAAAUUUGUGUGUGGCAAAAAAAAUUCACCACCAAGAAAGGGGCAAAUUAAACAACUUGAAACAAGUCAUUGGUUGUUUAAAAUAUUAGAUAAUAAUUUCAGUGAAGAAUCAUUAAAAUUAUGACAAAAUAACCCUAGAUAUUGUAGUAUUAAAUUGGAAAAUCUCAAUAAUAUUAUUAGAGUAAAACCUAUGAUCUAUCUAAACAAGAUAUAGAAGAUUUUGAUAUACAAAUUAAGGUUAGAAAUCAUGCGGAAAUAAAAAAGAAAAAAAAGCUAGUAUGGUCAUUAAUUAUAAAAGAUUAAAUCAAAAUAUUAUUUUUUUAUAGUUACUUGAAUUAAUCAGGCUAAACAAACAAAAUAUUUUAGUAAAUUUGACUGCAAAUCAGGAUUCUAGCAAAUCAUGAUAACAGAAAAGUCCAAACCUUUAACGGCUUUUAGUGCACCCAAUGGACAUUACCAAUGGAAAGUGAUGUCAUUUCAAUUAUGUGAUGCACCACAAAUCUUCCAAAGACGAAUGGAUUUUAUAUUUAAUAAAUAUAAAAAAAUUCUAUGUAGUCUACAUAGAUGAUAUUUUUUAUAUUUUUAGAUACACUAGAAUUACAUAAGAAACAUUUAAAUAUUAUUUCUUAAGAAUUCAUAAAAUAUAGAAUCAUAUUAAACCCUAAAAAUAUAGAGUUAGAAAAAAGAGAGAGAAUUUUUAUAAUAGUGGAAAUAAAAAAUUGUCCUCAAAAGAUUGAAGAAAAAAAGAACUUCCAACAAUUUCUAAUAUAUUCCUCCCAAAUUUUCAGUUUCAAUUUUAUUACAGAAUUUCUUUGCCGACAAUAAGAAAUUAAGAGCGCUCUUUAAGUUGAAUAUAGUCCGUCAGAUAUGGCUAUCUAUAACAUGGAACCUUUGGUUUUCAAGCUGAAUAGGAGAAUUGAUUCACUUGAUAAGUAUGAAAAAUUGAAACUGCUAAAUUUAAGUGCACUAACUCUGGAUAUCAUCAUUAUUUUUCUGUACAUUAAAGUACCUGUUUGAUAUGCGAUUUCUGCCUCAAACUAUCAACAUCUUUAACAUCCUUUUGCUAUAGUUAGCAUGGGUACUUCCUUUUAGAUUAACAGUUAGGUUUGAACUGUGAAUUAGAUUUCUGUGGCUGCUGGGAUUGAAGAAGUUAGUAUGCGAAUGACAUUGGACAAAUUUGGCAAAGUCUUCUCCAUCAGUGAAGAAAACCCCUUGGCGUAUGAAAAAUGUUCACCAUCUUAGACAUUUGUUUUCUUAUUGUAAGAAUAUUUUUAACAUUGUAACUUUUAACAUUAUUGUAAGAAUAUUUUGAAUUAUACUUCAGUUAUCAAUUUAUAUCAUAUAUCUUUUGUUGAAUUUGAAGUAUAAUUUAUAUUUGCUGUUUUUGGUUAGAUUUCAUGCUAUAGGAAGGGUUGUAUAUGGAUAGAAAUUGAAUGUUACAAAUCUGCCAAAGUUAGUGGCGUUUUUUCAUAAGAGCUGCUAAAGAAUGCUAUUUUUGGCGGUGUUUGUAAUAAAAGAGCCGCUAAAGGUCAUGUUCUUUAGCGAUGUUUGUGGGUAAAGCGCCGCUAAAGAUCAUGUUCUGUAGCUGUGUUUGUGGAUAAAGCGCCGCUAAAGAACAUGACCUUUAGCAGCGUAUUUUCACAUAAACGCCGCAAAAUUUAGCGGCUUUGUCUAUAGCGACUUUUUUUGCAGCGCUUUAAGUUUUAGCGGCGCUUUUAGGCCUAAAAAAGGGCCGCUAAAAGCCUGUUUUGCUGUAGUGAGCAUAUUUACAUUUUCGUCCCAAUUUCAACUAACACCCCAUCUAUUUCCCACUUCCCUUUUUCGGGCAAUUUCAACUAACACCUUCAUAUCAAACAUAACUAUUUUUCAAUUUUUCUUCUUUAUUUCAUUAAUAAAAUUAUCAAUCUAUUUGUUUUUAAAUAUAUAAUUUCAUUAAUAUUUUUUAAAUUAUAAUAUAAGAGUUGUUGUUUAUUUAUAGUUUUAUUACAUUAUUUACUCUCUCUUUUCUAUCAAGUUUUUUAAAUUAUAAUAUAAGAUUUAUUUUAUCAAUUUGUGGCUUAUCCAGUAUUCAUCUAUUUUAAUAAUAACUUGAGUUCCAGUCAUUAUCAUACCAGAAAGAGUUCCAUUUAUUCUUUAUCGUAAAUUUUAUAAAAAAAUAUACAUUUUAUUAUAAUACUAUAUGUGUUACGAAUAAUAUUUUAUUGUGGAUGCCCAUAAUUUUCAAAGUUGUAACCUCUAAUGUAGUAACCUUAAUGAAAUUAUGAGGCUUUUAUAUUGUAAUCAAGCCUCUAUUUAUUCUUUGUAACUUAAACAGAAGCAUAUUUUCUAUUAUAUUGAUAUUUUUUAUAGAUAUAUAUAUAUAUAUAAGGAAUCAAAUAAAAAGUUAUUUACCUUUCUAUUAUAUUGAUAUUUUCUAUUUGAUUUGUUCUUUUCUUUCACUAUUCCAUAAUAUAUUAUCAGUACGAUUUUAACCAAGAGUAACAUGUUAUUAGAUUGUGUCAAAAUUUUGUUGAGAAUCAUUAGAUUGUUUCCUUUUUCUUCUAUUUAGCCCCAAAUUGCACCCCUACACAAAAUUCAACAAAAACAUGGAAAAAUUAGUGGUGCACUCUCAUAAAUUAACCAAUUUAAUUACAUAAAAUAUGUAACUUUAGCAUUUUAUCAAUCAUGUUCUUUAGCGGCAUUUGUGGGUAAAGCGCCGCUAAAGGUCAUAUUCUUUAGCAGCGUUUGUGAUAAAAGUGCCACUAAAUAUCAUGUUCUUUAGCGGCGUUUGUGGAUAAAGCGCCGCUAAAGAACAUGACGUUUAGCAGCAUUUUUUUACAUAAACGUUGUAAAAUUUAGCGGCGUUGUCUAUAGCGACGUUUUUUGCGGUGCUUUCAAAUAGUUUUAGCGGCGCUUGUAGGCCUAAAAAAAUGCCGCUAAAAGUCUGUUUUGCUGUAUGAGCAUAUUUACAUUUUCGUCCCAAUUUCAACUAACACCCCAUCUAUUUCCCACUUCCCUUUUUCAGCCAAUUUCAACUAACACCUUCAUUUCAAACGUAAUUGUUUUUCGAUUUUUCCUCUUUAUUUCAUUAAUAAAAUUAUCAAUCUAUUUGUAUUUUAAAUAUAUAAUUUUAUUAAUAUUUUUUAAUUAUAAUAUAAGAGUUUUUGUUUAUUUAUAGUUUUAUUAUAUUAUUUACUCUCUUUUUUCUAUCAAGCUUUUUAAAUUAUAAUAUAAGAUUUAUUUUAUCAAAUGGUGGCUUAUCGAGUAUUCAUCUAUUUUAAUAAUAACUUGAGUUCCAAUCAUUAUCAUACCAGAAAGAGUUCCAUUUAUUCUUUAUCGUAAAUUUUAUAAAAAAAUAUAUAUUUUAUUAUAAUACUAUAUGUGUUAGGAAUAAUAUUUUAUUGUGGAUGCCCAUAAUUUUCAAAGUUGUAACCUCUAAUGUAGUAACCUCAAUGAAAUUAUGAGGCUUUUAUAUUGUAAUCAAGCCUCUAUUUAUUCUUUGUAACUUAAACAGAAGCAUAUUUUCUAUUAUAUUGAUAUUUUUUUAUAGAGAUAUAUACAUAAGGAAUCAAAUAAAAAGUUAUUUACCUUUCUAUUAUAUUGAUAUUUUCUAUUUGAUUUGUUCUUUUCUUUCACUAUUCCAUAAUAUAUUAUCAGUACGAUUUUAAUCAAGAGUAACAUUGUAUUAGAUUGUGUCAAAAUUUUGUUGGACUUCAAGUAUUGGAAUUUAAUUGUUUAAGUUAAGAAUCAUUAGAAUCAAUGGCUAUUUGAGAUAUGCUUGAGGAUGAUCUCAUUCUAUUCAUCACAAAGGUGGAGGUUAGAAAAUCUUUAUGUUUAAACAUUUAUAGCUUUAAAGUUAUUUUAACCUCUUAUUGUGACCUUAUAAUAUUUUGUAAUUUUUUGUAUUAUGGUAUAUAAAAAAAAUCUAACCAUAGUGAUUGAUUAGUAAUAUGAAUUUGUUAUUUGUUAUGUUUAAUAUAUAUUUUAUUUAUACUUAUUCAUUUUAUUUUUAUAUGAGUAAAUGAAGUGUUUGAAGAUUCGAAAUUUUUAUCAUCCAAGUUGAAAAUAAGUGCAAAAGUGUACAUUAUUUAAAAUAAAUUACGCAUUCAUUAAUGUUAUAUGAUAAAAUCAUUACAUGUUCUAAAGAACUAAUAUUGCAUCAAACUGUAAAAAGCUCUUGAAGAGUUAAUAUUUUACCUCCUUGUGAUACAAAAUCAUAUACAAUAUGAUAUUAUUUUUCAAAUCGAGUAGAUAUAUGUUGAGGGAAAUCUUUAUGUGGUUUACAUUAAAACCAUGGAUAGAAAUGACAUGAGAUACUCGUGUAUUUUUAUUAUAAAUAUUCCUUGAAGGAAGACACUUCACUUGUAUGAUUGACAUAUGAGAUAGUGGCAAGAAGUUCAUAGUGUUGGUAUGGUCGUCUAGAUCAUCUCAAAUCAAUAAUGAUGCAAAAUAAUUUGAAGAGAAUUUAUAUGAUUUUAUUGAAGAAUGAGAAGAUAUUUUCAUUUUGAUAAUUGUCAUCAAUACUAGUUCUUUGGAAAAAAAAUAUUGAACUAACAUAAAGUUAGAGGUUGGUUGCAUUUUUUGAUGAUAUCCAAAUAAUAUAUGAGCUCAUGUAUCACAUGUAUGCAACCCAAAGUUUACAGUAUUAUUUCUUGAAAUAAUUUGAUUCUACACAAUCUCUAUAGUAUGCAAUUUGUGCUAACAACGUUGGUGCAUUAUAUCCUAAGCUUGAUUUUCGUAGUUUUAGCUGAGAUAAUAUUAAGUUGUCUAUGCCUAUAUAUGUUAUACUUAAUGGUUAGCAAAAUUGUGCCUCCAUUUAAUUGCUUAACCAUUAAUAUAAGAAUAACUUUAAAAUAAGCAUGUAAUUUUAUUUGCAUAGAGUCAACAUGUAAGAAACAUUUGCCCCAUGAGAAUUGGCUUUCAUUUAUAAGCCAAUAGGUUUCAUAUGACUAUUUGGAUGUAAAAUAUCUAUUUUAUAUUCCACCAUAAUGCACUAAGAUGGUCCAUCAAGUAUGAAGUUGAGAAAAUUUAGAAUUUUUAUUUGAUGGUAAAAGUUGAAAAGAGAUAUAUACUUAUAAUUUUGAAAAAAAUAGUCAUGUUGCAAAUUUUUCUCAAUAUUAGGGGGAGACAAGUUGGACAAAUAAGGAUAAUUAUGUCAUCACUUUUUGUGAUCCCUCACUAAUAUUAUGUGCACAAAGUUUGAAGGAAAAAAGUAUUUGCUAGACAUGUUUAGUGAUGACACUUAGAGAUUGUAUAUACUAGAUGAUACAUAUACCAGCUAAAAUGUUCCAAAUAAUUAUGAGUCCUAGAAGGACAUAGUGAUAAAAAUAAUUUUUGGGCACGCUAGAAGGAUAAAAAACUAGUUCAUUCUAUAAAUCAAAAAAUUCUUGAAAGAAAAGAGUAAGAAAUGAAGCUGGCCACACAUUAAAGGAAACGAGUACUCAUGAAGAGACCUAAGGCAUAACUUUUAAUAAAACCCCAAAAGAGGUUCAAUACAUGGAAUUAUGAAUAUAAUAAGAUAUCUCGAUUAGUUAUAUCAUAACUAAAGAUGAUGGGGUUGAUAAAAGGAAAUUGUUGUUAACAACGAUAAUCUAAGUAGAACAUUUCAAUAUUAUGGUAAAAUGAGUAUUUUGAAUGAAAAUAUACUUGAAAGUAUUUAGAUGGGAACAACUCAUCAAAAUAAAUAGACGUUUCUAUUAUAACUUAUGAAAUGUGUCUCGGACAUGAAGUCCAAACAUUCGACAGGUGUAAAGCCAAGUGGAGUAUAUGUUAGCAUAAUAGUGAAAAAAUACAAAUCAUAAUAUAUAAAAUUGACUUGUAAGACAAACUUUCCCAAGACACUUGAUUUUGAUUAUGAAAAAUGAUUAAUUUGUGAUCUUAUCAAUUGAACAUACUUUGUAUAAUCAACAAAUUAUUAAUUAACCUCAUUUAACCAAUUUCCUUCAACACAUUUCAAAUCAAAUUAAUGUGUUGAGCACGCCCUUAACCCUUUUUCUUGAUUCAUUGCAUAGUCUAUUUCCAAGUACCAUAAUCAUCAACAUUUCAAUAUAUAAAGUCAUAACAUAAUGAAUCAUAGUUAGAAUUUUUUUUACCCUAUUAACCAAGUAUGGAACAAAAAUAAAAACCUAAUUUGUCAAGCUCAUUCAAUCAGCUUAUAUAUUAUAAGAAGAGCCUAAGUAUAAAUCCUAUACAUGAUUUCAAAUUCAACUAUUUAUAUUUGAGAUUCAAUUUAAAAUUCAUACUGAAAUUAUCAAAUUAACUCGUAAGCUACUCACGCUAAACAUUAAGGUACUCGAAUUCAAGUGGCUAGAUAUCAUAAACACUUUUAGCUUGUAAAACUAUUUCUAAGGGUCAGCCCAGAAUCAUGGUUGAACCCAAAAUCUGGUAACAAAAAUUUAAUUGAGCCAUCAGCCUAAAACAAAAAAGGCUUAAAAGGUUGGCACCCGAACAAUCAAAGAUAAACACCACCAUAUGCCACUCCCUGAAUCCGAUACAUACAAUAACACCCUUCACCACUUUUAUUCUUCUCCUUUUUUUUAACCUCAAUUUGGAUGGUCGCAUUUCUCUUUUUAGUGCUUUAUAGGGUUUGGGCUUUCAGAAUCCUCAGAGAUGCAAUUCAUGGAUCCCUCUAAGAAAUGCAAGCUUGAUGAAAAUGGUAUUAUUUCAACGGCAUCAGAACCUGACCCAAUCACCAAACUAACCCCACAAGAUGGCCGCAAGCUAAUCGAGCAAUUUAUCGUCGAUCAACUCCUUGACGUCCUCCAAGAUGCUGUUUGUUGUCACCUUGAUGUUCUUUCCGCCGUACACUCUAUUGCCGAUCAAGAUCCAUCUCAAAGGAAGCUUUUCAUCCGUGGUUGGGUUGGGAUACUACAACCCAACCCAACCCACAUUAGCAUACUACCAUGCGGUAACUUCUAGUGAUUUCUGUCUGUAACAUUAGACAGGUUAACAGUUAAAUCGUUCAACUGAAAGAUUUCUUUGAAGGAAGAGGUCAAUUGAUUUUUUUUGGAAUCAUUGUGUACUCAGUUGCAUUUAAGACGGGUAUCAUUCAUAAAGUAUAUAUCUACAUCAAGAAUGGUAGCCUCUUAUAUUAUAUUCAUGUAUUUAUUUUGCAUCUUUAAUUAUAAUAGGAUUUUUUUUGUUUAUUUAUAGUUUUAAUUAUAAUAUUUUUUAAAUAUGCCAAAGUAAAUUAUGUACCAAUUUUAAACUUCUCCUAGGUAAUUUAACGUAAGGGCAUUUAUGUUAUUUUACCACUUAUGAUAAAACUAACCUAAUUUUAGAUCUAAGUGUUUACCAACCUUCUUUUAGUCAAAUUAUGCAAGCCUAAAAUUUUUAGCUUAAUUUGAGUUUGUUUACUAUGUCUAAUUCAAGUUUUAUUAUUAAGAACUAAAUUGUAACUUAAACAAAUUAGAAUACCAAUUUAAAGAGACAAAAAUUCAAAGCCCCAAAACCCACACGGGCAUGUGGGUAAGUGACACAGGCGUGUGGAAACUGGAGCUAUCACACACGGGUGAGUGGGACUGAAAAAUAUGAAAUAAAUUAAUCCAUUUAAAUUUCCAACAACCAUGCUAUACUACCAAACCAAAUAAUGUUAGAAGCUUUGAAUAGGGGCGAAUCUUAAAAAAAAUAGAAGAAUUAGAAUUAAAUUAUAAAAUUUUGAGAAGUUGUCAUGUAUUAAUUUAUUAUUUUUUAAAGGGUCUUAAUAGAUUUUUUUUCCCCAUUUUGGUUUGGCCAAUACCCCUGUCUGCCUCUUUCAAUUUGCUUCAACCCUUAGCCCAAUAUUCGAUUUGUUGUGGAAGUUUGACGCAUAAAAAUUCCUUUUUUAGAGGUUUAAAUUAUAAAUUUUUAUUAACAAAAUAUAAAAGAAAAAAACAUGUGUAGACAAGCCAAGAAACCUUUGGGAUCAUACAGGUGAUUUUGAGAUGUUCAUGGUUAUUUUGGUGGAGAGGGUAAAAAAGAAACAAAUGAUUCAUUAUAUAUGAUAUAAUUAUGAAAUUCAAGCCAUAUAUUGUAUGUUUCAUCCAUACAAAUUUCUUGUAGCAUUAAAUGACUCGUAGGCUUGCUGAAUUUCUUUGAAAGGCCCAAAGGCAAUUUAACAUUCACAAAAUAAUCUCUAAAUAGUGUAAAGACAAAUCAAAUCCACAGUAGCAUUAGAGUUGAUUAAGCUAAGCAUUGGCAAAUAUUACUUUGAUUUUGCAUGCAAUAUUGGCAAAACCCCCUCUUACAUUAGAAAAACAACAUAAUCCAUGAAACAUUGAUAGCCCAAUACAAAUUUCAUCGAGAAAAAAGUCUCUUUGUUUUGUAGAACAUGAUAGUAAAGAUGUGGAGUUUCGUUCUUCUUAUUGGCCUCCUUUAGUUUUCCUUGAUCAACAACCACUAGCCAAAAACACAAUUAGAUUAGAUUAUGAAUGAUACUUUCAACUAUGACAAUAUUAAAUACAAACCACUCUAAAUAACUCUAAAUAAAUGGAAAGCAGCAAAUUACCAGACGAGGCAAGCUAGCUCAAUUAAGACCAUUGUGUUAUACUUGUCUCUGAAUUGAAAAAUUUAGAAGGAAAUAAAGAGAAAGACUUAGAAAAUACUUGAAAACAGAAAAAAAAAUUAUGUCAUUUAAAAUAAAAAAUUUCUAUUCAAGCCAUUUAAAAUUUGUAAGAUUUUUAAAAUUUUAAAAUGAUAAAGGUAAAAUUGUACUUUGGCACCCCAAAAAUGAUAAAACUUUGAUUUAAUUAUUUAAAAAUUAUAAAAAUAUAGGCUAUUAAAAUGGUGAAAUUAUAUUUUUACUAUAGUAAAAAUUACAAUUUAAUUUCACCCCUAAAAGGAUUUUCUGGCUUCGCACCUAAUAAAAUCUUUGGCAAAAGACUAAAAUAAAAUUAUACCAUGAAUGGAAAAAGAAACUAAUAAAAUCCAAUCUAACAAAGAAAAUAACUUGAUGUCCAAAAGCUACCAUAAACCGUAAUUCAUGGGAAGGCUUGUUGCUUAUUUUAUUGGUUUCCAUUUUGAAAGAAGUUUGAAUUUUGAAGAGAGCCUACUACGUGAAAGCAAAAGAAAAAAAAAUAGUUUAUAUGAUUAAAAUUCCAGAAUAGAUUAAAAAUGUUGAAUUAAAGAUAAAAUUAAGUGUGAAUUAAUAACCACAAGUGUACUCUUUACUCACCAUCUCUGUUAAAAAUGUUGGAUGUUGUUUAGCAACCUUUGUUUGAUUUUCUUCAGCUCAACCACAACAUCUUUCAUAUCUUUUCUUUCUUCUGGUAACUCAGCUGAACAAUUCAAAGCCAACUCCAUGAUAGAUGAAAUACAAUUUGCUUUAACAACAAUGUACUCAUCCUCUCUUCUUAAUAAAUCAACAUCUGCAAUUUCUAUCGCUCCUUUAGGCAAUGAUCUUUCCAUCCAAUGCCUUAUACUCUCUUCUUCAACAAAAACCUUAUCAGUUGGCUUUUUCUUUGUGAAAGUUUCUAUAAGGACGAUCCCAUAACUAUAGACGUCAGAUUUUAUAGAAACAAUUCCUGCUGAUCCAAAUUCUGCAUUUCAAGUAUAAUUAGAACAUCAUUCAUCCUCAAUUAUUUCUAAAACGCUUAUUCAAAUAUCUAUCCACAUACACGUGAAACAAGAAUAUAAAAUACAAAUUAGGAAAAUAAUCAUACAAAAAUAAAAAAAAGAAUUCACCUGGUGCCAUAUACCCAAUAGUUGCAAGAGUCAUGGUUUGCUUCAUUACUUCACCUUCUCCCAACAAUUUGGCAACGCCAAAAUCUCCAACAUGUGCAACCAUGUCUUCAUCUAGUAAAAUAUUGCUUGGUUUUAUGUCACAAUGAAUUAUAGGUGUUGGAUGUCCAUUGUGGAGGUGUUCUAUAGCUACCGCAACAUCUAUCAUUAUGUCGACCCUUUGUAUGAUACCAAGGAAACAAUUUUCAGAAUGUAACCAUUUCUCAAGGUUUCCAUUAGACAUGUAAUCAAGCACCAAGGCUUUGAAGUCAACACUUGAGCAGUAAGUAAUGACCUUCACAAUAUUACGAUGAACUAUAUUAAGCAUAGCAUCACAUUCAAUGUCAAAACUCCUAAAUGCUCCCUCUGUUUGCAAAU